RNAcentral lists this long non-coding RNA (83850 nucleotides) under Prunus persica (peach). Its description in RNAcentral is "long non-coding RNA (PPER_LNC005264)". The record is from RNAcentral. Lineage: Eukaryota; Viridiplantae; Streptophyta; Magnoliopsida; Rosales; Rosaceae.
GAUGCAGUACACCAACCACUCCAUUUCAUAAGGAACUUCGUAUGAACCUGAAUUGUUCAAUUUCAUGGACGAAUCGAUAUCGGAUUGAGGGCAAAACUUGGGGAACAUCCUAAUACGGUGGGAGGAGUCAUCUGGUGGCCUUUGAGUGAAAUCCAAUCCAUUUCAUAACGAACUUCGUACGAACCUGAAUUGUCCAAUUUCAUGGACCAAUCGAUAUCGGAUUGAGUCCAAAACUUUUGAAACAUCAUAAUAUGAUGGGAGGAGUCAUUUGGUGACUUUUCAGUGCAAUUCGAUUGCUAAAACUAUGCAAUACCCUAACCACUCCAUUUCGGAACGAACUUCGUACGAACCUGAAUUGUCCAAUUUCAUGGACCAAUCGAUAUCGGAUUGUGUCUGAAACUUGGGGAACAUCAUAAGAUGAUGGGAGGAGUCAUUUGGUGACUUUUGAGUAAAAUCCAAUGGCUAAAACUAUGCAAUACACUAACGGCUCCAUUUCAGAACAAAAUUGUCCAAUUUCUUGGACUAAUCGAUAUCGGAUUGAGUCCAAAACUUGGGGAACAUCAUAAUACGGUGGGAGGAGUCAUUUGGUGACUUUUGAGUGAAAUCCAAUCUCUACAACAAUGCAAUACACCAACCACCCCAUUUCAUAACAAACUUCGUAUGAACCUGAAUUGUCCAAUUUCAUGGACCAAUCGAUAUCGGAUUGUGUCCAAAACUUGGGGAACAUCAUAAAACGGUGGGAGGAGUCAUUUGGAGGGUUUUGAGUGAAAUCCAAUCUCUACAACUAUGCAAUACACCAACCACUCCAUUUCAUAACGAAAUUCGUACGAACCUGAAUUGUCCAAUUUCCUGGACCAAUCGAUAUCGGAUUGAGUCCAAAACUUUGGGAACAUCAUAAUAUGAUGGGAGGAGUCAUUUGGUGCCUUUUGAGUGAAAUCCAAUGGCUAAAAGUAUGCUAUACACCAACCACUCCAUUUCAUAACGAACUUCGUACGAACCUGAAUUGUCCAAUUUCAUGCACCAAUCGAUAUUGGAUUGGAGCCAAAACUUGGGGAACAUCGUAAUAUGAUGGUUGGAGUCAUUUAGUGACUUUUGAGUGAAAUCCAAUGGCUAAAACUAUGCACACUAACCACUCCAUUUCAGAACGAACUUCGUACGAACCUGUAUUAUCCAAUUUCGUGGACCAAUCAAUACAGGAUUGAGUCCGAAACCUGGGGAACAUCAUAAUAUGAUUGGAGGAGUCAUUUGGUGCCUUUUGAGUGAAAUCCAAUGGCUAAAACUAUGCAAUGCACCAACCACUCCAUUUCAUAACGAACUUUGUAGGAGCCUGAAUUGUCCAAUUAAAUGGACCAAUCGAUAUCGGAUUCAGUCCAAAACUUGGGGAACAUCAUAAUACGGUGCGAGGAGUCAUUUGGAGGGUUUUGAGUGAACUCUAAUCUCUACGACUAUGCAAUACACCAACCACUCCAUUUCAUAACGAACUUCGUACGAACCUAAAUUGUCCAAUUUCAUUGACCAUGACUUUUGAGUGAAAUCCAAUGGCUAAAACUAUGCAAUACACUAACCACUCCAUUUCAGAACAAACUUCGUACGAACCUGAAUUGUCUAAUUUCAUGGACCAAUCGAUAUCGGAUUGAGUCCAAAACUUGGGGAACAUCAUAAUACUACGUUAGGAGUCAUUUGGCGGGUUUUGAGUGAAAUCCAACCGCUACAACUAUGGAAUACACCAACCACUCCUUUUCAUAACGAACUUCGUGCGAACCUGAAUUGUCCAAUUUCAUGGACCAAUUGAUAUCGGAUUGAGUCCAAAACUUGUGGAACAAGAUAAUAUGAUUGGAGGAGUCGUUUGGUGACUUUUGAGUGAAAUCCAAUGGCUAAAACUAUGCAAUACACUAACCACUCCAUUUCAUAACGAACUUCGUGCGAACCUGAAUUGUCCAAUUUCAUGGACCAAUCGAUAUCGGAUUGAGUCCAAAACUUGUGGAACAAGAUAAUAUGAUAGGAGGAGUCAUUUGGUGCCUUUUGAGUGAAAUCCAAUGGCUAAAACUAUGCAAUACACCAACCACUCCAUUUCAUAACGAACUUCGUGCGAACCUGAAUUGUCCAAUUUCAUGGACCAAUUGAUAUCGGAUUGAGGCCAAAACUUGGGGAACAUCAUAAUAUGAUGGUUGGAGUCAUUUGGUGAGUUUUGAGUGAAAUCCAAUGGCUAAAACUAUAAAAUACACUAACCACUCCAUUUCAAAACGAACUUCGUACGAACCUGAAUUGUCCAAUUUCAUUGACCAAUCGAUAUCAAAUUGAGUCCAAAACUUGGGGAACAUCAUAAUAUGAUUGGAGGAGUCAUUUGGUGACUUUUGAGUGAAAUCCAAUGGCUAAAACUAUGCCACACACUAACCACUCCACUUAAGAACGAACUUCGUACGAAACCUGAAUUGUCCAAUUUCAUGGACCAAUCGAUAUCGGAUUGUGUCUGAAACUUGGGGAACAUCAUAACAUGAUGGGAGGAGUCAUUUGGUGACUUUUGAGUAAAAUCCAAUGGCUAAAACUAUGCAAUACACUAACGACUUCAUUUUAGAACAAACUUCGUACGAACCUAAAUUGUCCAAUUUCAUGGACCAAUCGAUAUCGGAUUGAGUCCAAAACUUGGGGGAACAUCAUAAUAUGAUGGAAGGAGUCGUUUGGUGACUUUUUGAGUGAAAUCCAAUGGCUAAAACUUUGCAAUACACUAACCACUCCAUUUCAGACAAACUUCGUACGAACCUGAUUUGUCCAAUUUCAUGGACCAAUCGAUAUCGGAUUGAGUCUGAAACUUGGGGAGCAUAAUAAUAUGAUGGAAGGAGUCAUUUGGUGACUUUUGAGUGAAUCCAAUGGCUAAACUAUGCAUACAUUUAUCCACUCCAUUUCGACGAACUUCGUACGAACCUGAAUUGUCCAAUUUCAUGGACCAAUCGAUAUCGGAUUGAGUCCAAAACUUUGGGAACAUCAGAAUAUAACGGGAGGAGCCAUUUGGUGACUUUUGAGUGAAAUCCAAUGCCUAAAACUAUGCAAUACACUAACCACUUCAUUUUAGAACGAACUUCGUACGAACUGAAUUGUCCAAUUUCUUGGACCAAUCGAUAUCGGAUUGAGUCCAAAACUUGGGGAACAUCAUAAUACGGUGGGAGGAGUCAUUUGGCGGGUUUUGAGUGAAAUCCAAUCUCUACAACUAUGCAAUACACCGACCACUCCAUUUCAUAACGAACUUCGUACGAACCUGAAUUGUCCAAUUUCACGGACCAAUCGAUAUCAGAUGGAGUCCAAAACUUUGGGAACAUCAGAAUAUAACGGGAGGAGCCAUUUGGUGACUUUUGAGUGAAAUCCAAUGCCUAAAACUAUGCAAUACACUAACCACUUCAUUUUAGAACGAACUUCGUACGAACCUGAAUUGUCCAAUUUCAUGGACCAAUCGAUAUCGGAUUGAGUCCAAAACGUGGGGAACAUCAUAAUACGGUGGGUGGAGUCAUUUGGUGUGUUUUGAGUAAAAUCCUAUCUCUAAAACUAUGCAAGACACCAACCUCUCCAUUUCAGAUUGAACUUCGUACGAACCUGAAUUGUCCAAUUUCUUGGACCAAUCGAUAUCGAAUUGAGUCCAAAACUUGGGGAACAUCAUAAUACGGAGGGAGGAGUCAUUUGGCGGGUUUUGAGUAAAAUCCAAUCUCCACAACUGUGCAACGUACGAACCACUCCAUUUCAUAACGAGCUUCGUACGAACUUGAAUUGUCCAAUUUCAUGGACCAAUCGAUAUCGAAUUGAGUCCAAAACUUGGGGAACAUCAUAAUACGGUGGGAGGUGUCAUUUGGUGUCUUUUGAGUGAAAUCCAAUCUCUACAACUAUGCAAUACACCAACCACUCCAUUUCAUAACGAACUUCGUCCGAACCUGAAUUGUCUAAUUUCAUGGACCAAUCGAUAUCGGAUUGAGUCCAAAACUUGGGGAACAUCAUAAUAUGGUGGGAGGAGUCAUUUGGCGGGUUUUGAGUGAAAUCCAAUCUCUACAACUAUGCAAUACACCAACGACUCCAUUUCAAAACGAACAUGAAUUGUCCAAUUUCAUGGACCAAUCGAUAUCGGAUUUAGUCCAAAACUUGUGGAACAAGAUAAUAUGAUAGGAGGAGUCAUUUGGUGACUUUUGAGUGAAAUUCAAUGGCUAAAACUAUGCAAUACACUAACCACUCCAUUUCAUAACGAACUUCGUACGAACCUGAAUUGUCCAAUUUCGUGGACCAAUCGAUAUCAGAUUGAGUCCAAAACUUGGGGAACAUCAUAAUAUAAUGGGAGGAGUCAUUUGGUGACUUUUGAGUGAAAUUCAAUGGCUAAAACUAUGCAAUACACUAACCACUCCAUUUCAGAGCGAACUUCGUACGAGCCUGAAUUGUCCAAUUUCAAGGAUCAAUCGAUAUCGGAUUGAGUCCAAAACUUGGGGAACAUCAUAAUACGUUGGGAGGAGUAAUUUGGUGUCUUUUGACUGAAAUCGAAUGGCUAAAACAAUGGAAUAAACCAACCACUCCAUUUCAGAAUGAACUUCGUAAGAACCUGAAUUGUCAGAUUUCAUGGACCAAUUGAUAUCGGAUUGAGUCCAAAACUUGGGGAACAUCCUAAUACGGUGGGACGAGUCAUUUGGUGUCUUUUGAGUGAAAUUCUAUGGCUAAAACUAUGCAAUACAACAACCACUCCAUUUCAGAACGAACUUCGUAUGAACCUGAAUUGUCCAAUUUCGUGGACCAAUCAAUAUCGGAUUGAGUCCAAAACUUGGGGAACAUCAUAAUACGGUGGGAGGAGUCAUUUGGUGGGUUUUGAGUGAAAUCCAAUCUCUACAACUAUGCAAUACACCAACCACUCCAUUUCAUAUCGAACUUCAUACGAAUCGGAAUUAUCCAAUUUCAUGGACCGAUCGAUAUCGGAUUGAGUCCAAAACUUGGGGAACAUCAUAAUACGGUGGGAGGAGUCGUUUGGUGUCUUUAGAGUGAAAUCCAAUGGCUAAAACUAUGCAAUACACCAACCACUACAUUUCAGAAUGAACUUCGUACGAACAUGAAUUGUCCAAUUUCAUGAACCAAUCUAUAUCGGAUUGAGUCCAAAACUAGGGCAACAUCAUAAUACGGUGGGAGGUGUCAUUUGGUGGGUUUUGAGGGAAAUCCAAUCUCUACAACUACGCAAUACACCAAGCACUUCAUUUCAUAACGAACUUCAUACGAACGUGGAUAUUCCAAUUUCAUGGACCAAGCGAUAUCGGAAUGAGUCCAAAACUUGGGGAACAUCAUAACACUGUGUGAGGAGUCAUUUGGUGUCAUAGUGAAAUUCUAUGGCUAAAACUACGCAAUACACCAACCUCUCCAUUUGAGAACGAACUUCCUACGAACCUGAAUUGUCCAAUUUCAUGGACCAAUCGAUAUCGGAUGGAGGCCAAAACUUGGGGAACAUCCUAAUACAGUGGGAGGAGUCAUCUGGUGGCCUUUGAGUGAAAUUCAAUGGCUAAAACUAUGCAAUACACCAAUCACUCCAUUUUAGAACGAACUUCCUACGAACCUGAAUUGUCUAAUUUCAUGGACCAAUCGAUUUCGGAUUCAGGCCAAAACUUGGGGAACAUCCUAAUACGGUGGGAGGAGUCAUCUGGUGGCCUUUGAGUGAAAUCCAAUGUCUACAACUAUGUAACACACAAACCACUCCAUUUCAUAACGAACUUCGUACAAACCUGAAUUGUCCAAUUUCAUGGACCAAUCGAUAUCGGAUUGAGUCGAAAACUUGGGGAACAUCAUAAUAUGGUGGGAGUAGUCAUUUGGUGGGUUUUGAGUGAAAUCCAAUCUCUACAACUAUGCAAUACACCAACCACUCCAUUUCAUAACGAACUUCAUACGAACCUGAAUUAUCCAAUUUCAUGGACCAAUCGAUAUCGGAUUGAGUCCAAAACUUGGGAAACAUCAUCAUACGGUGGGAUGAGUCAUUUGGUUGGUUUUGAGUGAAAUCCAAUCUCUACAACUAUGCAAUACACUAACCACUCCAUUUCAUAACGAACUUCAUAUGAACUUGAAUUGUCCAAUUUCAUAGACCAAUCGAUAUCGGAUUGAGUCCAAAACUUGGGGAACAUCAUAAUAUGGUGGGAGGAGUCAUUUGGUGUCUUUUGAGUGAAAUCCAAUGGCUAAAACUAUGCCAUACACCAACCACUCCAUUUCAGAAUGAACUUCAUACGAACCUGAAUUGUCCAAUUUCAUGGACCAAUCGAUAUCGGAUUGAGUCCAAAACUUGGGCAACAUCAUAAUACGGUGGGAGGUGUCAUUUGGUGGGUUUUGAGUGAAAUCCAAUCUCUACAACUAUGCAAUACACCAACCACUCCAUUUCAUGACGAACUUCGUACGAACCUCAAUUGUCCAAUUAUAUGGACCAAUGGAUACCGGAUUGAGUCCAAAACUCGGGGAACAUCAUAAUACGAUGGGAGGAGUCAUUUGGUGGGUUUUGACUGAAAUCCAAUCUCUACAACUAUGCAAUACACCGACCACUCCAUUUUAGAACGAACUUCGUUCGAACUUGAAUUGUCCAAUUUCAUGGACCGAUCGAUAUCAGAUUGAGAUCAAAACGUGGGGAGCAACAUACUGUGGUGGGUGGAGUCAUUUGGUGGCCUUGAAGUGAAAUCCAAUGGGAUAAACUAUGCAAUACACCAACCACUCCAUUUCGGAACGUACUUCAUACAAACCUGAAUUGUCCAAUUUCGUGGACCAAUCAAUAUCGGAUUGAGUCCAAACCUUGGGAAUCAUCAUAAUACGAUGGGAAGAGUCAUUUGGUGGGUUUUGAGUGAAAUCGAAUCUCUACAACUAUGCAAUACACCAACCACUCUAUUUCAGAACGAACUUCGUACAAACCUGAAUUGUCCAAUUUUAUGGAGCAUUCGAUAUCGGAUGGAGCCCAAAACUUGGGGAACAUCAUAAUACGGUGGGACGAUUCAUUUGGUGUCUUUUGAGUGAAAUCCAAUGGCUAAAACUAUGCAAUACAUCAACCACCCUAUUUCAUAACGAACUUCGUACGAAGUUGAAUUAUCCAAUUUCAUGGACCAAUCGAUAUUGGAUUGAGUCUUAAACUUGGGGAACAUCAUAAAAUGAUGGGAGGAGUCAUUUGGUGACUUUUGAGUGAAAUCCAAUGGCUAAAACUAUGCAAUACACUAACUACUCCAUUUCAGAACGAACUUCGUUCGAACCUGAAUUAUCCAAUUUCAUGGACCAAUCGAUAUCGGAUUGGGGAAUCAUCAUAAUCCGAUGGGAGGAGUCAUUUGGUGGGUUUUGAGUGAAAUCCAAUCUCUACAACUGUGCCAUGCACCGACCACUCCAUUUCAUAACGAACUUCAUACGAACCUGAAUUGUCCAAUUUCAUCGACCAAUCGAUAUCGGAUUGAGUCCAAAACAUGGGGAUCAGCAGAAAUACGGUGGGAGGAGUCAUUUCGUGGGUUUUGAGAGAAAUGCAAUCUCUACAAUUAUGCAAUACACCAACCACCAUAUUUCAUAACGAACUUCGUACGAACCUGAAUUGUCCAAUCUCAUGGACCAAUCGAUAUGGGAUUGAGUCCAAAACUUUGGGAACAUCAUAAUAUGGUGGGAGGAUUCAUUUGGUGGGUUCUGAGUGAAAUACAAUCUCUACAACUAUGCAAUACACCAACAACUCCAUUUCAGAACGAACUUCGUACGAACCUGAAUUGUGCAAUUUCGUGGACCAAUCGAUAUCGGAUUGAGUCCAAAACUUGUGGAACAUCAUAAUACGAUGGGAGGUGUCAUUUGGUGGGUUUUGAGUGAAAUCCAAUCUCUACAACUAUGCAACACACCAACCACUCCGUUGCAUAACGAACUUCGUACGAACCUGAACUGUCCAAUUUCAGGGACCAAUCGAUAUCGGAUUGAGUCCAAAACUUGGGGAACAUCAUAAUAUGAUGGGAGGAGUCAUUUGGUGACUUUUGAGUGAAAUCCAAUGGCUAAAACUACGCAAUACACCAACUACUCUAUUUCAGAACGAACUUCGUACGAACCUGAAUUGUCCAAUUUCAUGGACCACUCCAUUUCAGAACGAACUUCAUAUGAACCUGAAUUGUCCAUUUUUAGGGACCAAUCGAUAUCGGAUUGAGUCCAAAACCUAGGAAUCUUCAUAAUACGGUGGGAGGAGUCAUUUGGUGGGUUUUGAGUGAAAUCGAAUCUCUACAACUAUGCAAAACACCAACCACAACAUUUCAUAACGAACUUCGUAGGAACCUGAAUUGUCCAAGUUCUUGGACCAAUCGAUAUCGGAUUGAGUCCAAAACUUGGGCAACAUCUUAAUAUGAUGGGAGGAGUCAUUUGGUGACUUUUGAGUGAAAUCCAAUUUCAGGGACCAAUCGAUAUCGGAUUGAGUCCAAAACUUGGAGAACUUCAUAAUACGGUGGGAGGAGUCAUUUGGUGGGUUUUGAGUGAAAUUCAAUCUCUACAACUAUGCAAUACACCAACCACUCCAUUUCAUCACAAACUUCGUACGAACCUGAAUUGUCCAAUUUCAUGUUCCAAUCGAUAUAGGAUUGAGUCCAAAACUUGGAGAACAACAUAAUAUGAUGGGAGGACUCAUUUGGUGACUUUCGAGUGAGAUCCAAUUGCAAAAACUAUGCAAUACACUAACCACUCCAUUUCAGAACGAACUUUGUACGAACCUGAAUUGUCCAAUUUCAUGGACCAAUCGAGAUCGGAUUGAGUCCAAAACUUGGGGAACAUCAUAAUACGGUGGGAGGAGUCAUUUGGCCGGUUUUGAGUGAAAUCCUACCCCGACAACUAUGCAAUACACCAUCCACUCCAUUUCAUAACGAACUUCGUACGAACCUGAAUUGUCUAACUUCAUGGACAAAUCGAUAUUGGAUUGAGUCCAAAACAUGGGGAACAUCAUAAUAUGAUGGGAGGAGUCAUUUGGUGUCUUUUGACUGAAAUCCAACAGCUAAAACUAUGCAAUACACCAACCACUCCAUUUCAGAACGAACUUUCGUACGAACGUGAAUUGUCCAAUUUAAUGGAACAAUCGAUAUCGGAUUGAGUCCAAAACUUGGGGAACAUCAUAAUACGGUGGGAGUUGUCAUUUGUUGGAUUUUGAGUGAAAUCCAAUCGCUACAACUAUGCAAUACCCCAACCACUCCAUUUCAUGACGAACUUCGUACGAACCUGAAUUGUCCAAUUUCAUGGACCAAUCGAUAUCGGAUUGAGUCCAAAACUUGGGGAACACCAUAAUACGGUGGAAGGAGUCAUUUGGUGGGAUUUGAGUCAAAUACAAUCUCAACAACUGUGCAAUACACCAACCACUCCAUUUUAUACCCAACUUCGUACAAACCUGAAUUGUCCAAUUUCAUGGACCAAUCGAUAUCAGAUUGAGUCCAAAACUAGGGGAACAUCAUACUAUGAUGAGGGGAGUCAUUUGGUGUCUUUUGACUGAAAUCCAAUGGCAAAAACUAUGCAAUACACCAUCCACUCCAUUUCAGAACGAACUUCGUAGGAACCUGAAUUGUCCAAUUUUUUGGACCAAUCGAUAUUGGAUUGAGUCCAAAACUUGGGGAAUAUCAUAAUGUGGUGGGAGGAGUCAUUUGGUGGGUUUUGAGUGAAAUCCAAUCUCUACAACUAUGCAAUAUACCAACCACUCUAUUUCAUAACGAACUUCGUACGAACCUAAAUUGUCCAAUUUCAUGGACCAAUCAAUAUCGGAUUGAGUCUAAAACAUGAGGAAUAUCAUAAUACGGUGGGAGGAGUCAUUUGGUGGGUUUGGAGUGAAAUCCAAUCUCUACAACUGUCCAAUACAUCAAUCACUCCAUUUCAUAACGAACUUGGAAUGAACCUGAAUUGUCCAAUUUCAUGGACCAAUCGAUAUCGGAUUGAGUCCAAAACUUGGGGAACAUCAUAAUACCCUGGGAGUCGUUUGGUGUCUUUUGAGUGAACUCCUAUGGCUAAAACUAUGCAAUACAGCAAGCACUCCAUUUCAGAACGAACUUCGUACGAAUAUGAAUUGUCCAAUUGAUGGACCAUCGAUAUCAGAUGAGUCCAAAACUUGGGGAACAUCAUAAUACGGUGGGAGGAGUCAUUUGGUGUGUUUUGAGUGAAAUCCAAUCUCUACAACUAUGCAAUACACCAACCACUCCAUUUCAUAACGAACUUCUUACGAACCUAAGUUGUCCAAUUUCAUGGACCAAUCAAUAUCGGAUUGAGUCUAAAACAUGGGGAAUAUCAUAAUACGGUGGGAGGAGUCAUUUGGUGGGUUUGGAGUGAAAUCCAAUCUCUACAACUAUCCAAUACAUCAAUCACUCCAUUUCAUAACGAACUUGGUACGAACUUGAAUUGUCCAAUUUUAUGGACCAAUCCAUAUCGGAUUGAGUCCAAAACUUAGGGAACACCAUAAUACGGUGGGAGUCGUUUGGUGUCGUUUGAGUGAACUCCUAUGCCUAAAACUAUGCAAUACAGCAAGCACUCCAUUUCAGAACGAACUUCGUACGAACAUGAAUUGUCCAAUUUAAUGGACCAAUCGAUAUCAGAUUGAGUCCAAAACUUGGGGAACAUCAUAAUACGGUGGGAGGAGUCAUUUGGUGUCUUUUGACUGAAAUCCAAUGGCUAAAACUAUGCAAUACACCAACCACUCCAUUUCAUAAUGAACUUCAUACGAACAUGAAUUGUCCAAUUUAAUGGACCAAUCGAUAUGAGAUUGAGUCCAAAACUUGGGGAACAUCAUAAUACGGUGGGAGGAGUCAUUUGGUGGAUUUUGAGUGAAAUCCAAUCUCUACAACUAUGCAAUACACCAACCACUCCAUUUCAUAACGAACUUCGUACGACCCUGAAUUGUCCAAUUUCAUGGACCAAUCGAUAUCGGAUUGAGUCCAAAACAUGGGGAACAUCAUAAUGCGGUGGGAGGAGUCCUUUGGUGGGUUUUGAGUGAAAUCCAAUCUCUACAAUUAUGCAAUACACCAACUACUCCAUUUCAGAACGAACUUCGUACGAGGGUGAAUUGUCCAAUUUCAUGGACCAAUCGAUAUCGGAUUGAGUCCAAAACUUGGGAAACAACAUAAUAUGAUGGUUGGAGUCAUUUGGUGAUAUUUGAGUGAAAUCCAAUGGCUAAAACUAUGCAAUAUACAAACCACUCCAUUUCAGAAUGAACUUUGUACGAACCUGAAUUGUCCAAUUUCAUGGACCAAUCGAUAUCGGUUUGAGUCCAAAACUUGGGGAUCAUCAAAAUACAGUGGGAGGAGUCAUUUUGGUGGGAUUUGAGUGAAAUCCAAUCUCUACAACUAUGCAAUACACCACCAGUCCAUUUCAUAACGAACUUGGUACGGACCUGAAUUGUCCAAUUUCAUGGACCAAUCGAUAUCGGAUUGAGUCCAAAACAUGGGGAACAUCAUAAUGCGGUGGGAGGAGUCAUUUGGUGGGAUUUGAGCGAAAUCCAAUCUCUACAACUAUGCAAUACACCACCAGUCCAUUUCAUAACGAACUUCGUACAAACCUGAAUUGUCCAAUUUCAUGUUCCAAUCGAUAUCGGAUUGAGUCCAAAACUUGGGGAACAUUACAAUAUGAUGGGAGGAGUCAUUUGGUGAUUUUUGAGUGAAAUCCAAUGGCUAAAACUAUGCAAUACACUAAUCACUCCAUUUCAGAACAAACUUCGUACGAACUUAAAUUGUCGAAUUUGAUGGACCAAUCGAUAUCGAAUUGAGUCCAAAACUUGGGGAACAUCAUAAUACAGUGGGAGGAGUCAUUUGGUGGCUUUUGAUUGAAAUCCAAUCUCUACAACUAUGCAAUACACCAACUACUCCAUUUCAUAACGAACUUCGUUUGAACCUGAAUUGUCCAAUUUCAUGGACCAAUCGAUAUCGGAUUGAGUCCAAAACAUGGGGAACAUCAUAAUAUGAUGGGAGGAGUCAUUUGGUGUCUUGUAAGUGAACUCCUAUGGCUAAAACUAUGGAAUACACCAACCACUCCAUUUCAGAAUGAACUUCGUACGAACCUGAAUUGUCCAAUAUCAUGGGCCAAUCGAUAUCGGAUUAAGUUCAAAACUUGGGUAACAUCACAAUAUUGUUGGAGGAGUCAUUUGGUGACUUUUGAGUGAAAUCCAAUGGCUAAAACUUUGAAAUAGACAUGCCACUCCAUUUCAGAACGAACUUUUUUAAGAACCUAAAUUGUAUAAUUUCAUGGACCAACCGAUAUCGGAUUGAGUCCAAAACUUGGGGAACUUCAUAAUAUGGUGGGAGGAGUCAUUUGGUGGCUUUUGAGUGAAAUCCAAUCUCUACAACUAUGCAAUACACUAACCACUCCAUUUAAGAACGAACUUCGUACGAAACUGAAUUGUCCAAUUUCAUGGACCAAUCAAUAUCGGAUUGUGUCCAAAACUUGGGGAACAUCGUAAUAUGAUGGGAGGAGUCAUUUGGUGUCUUUUCAGUGAAAUCCAAUGGCUAAACCUAUGCAAUACACCAACCACUCCAUUUCAGAACGAACUUCGUACGAACCUGAAUUGGCCUAUUUUUGGGACCAAUCGAUAUCGGAUUGAGUCGAAAACGUGGGGAGCAUCAUACUGUGGUUGGUGGAGUUAUUUGGUGGCUUUCGAGUGAAAUCCAAUGGGAAAAACUGUGCAAUACACCAAUCACUCCAUUUCACAACGAACGUGAAUUGUCCAAUUUCAGGGACCAAUCGAUAUCGGAUUGAGUCCAAAACUUGGGAAUCAUCAUAAUACGAUGGGAGGAGUCAUUUGGUGGGUUUUGAGUGAAAUCCAAUCUCUACAACUAUGUAACACACGAACCACUCCAUUUCAUAACGAACUUCGUACGAACCUGAAUUGUCCACUUUCAUGGACCAAUCGAUUUCGGAUUGAGUCCAAACCUUGGGGAUCAUCAUAAUACGGUGGGAGGACUCAUUUUGUGGAUUUGGAAAGAAAUCCAAUCUCUACAACUAUGCAAUACACCAACUACCCUAUUUCGUAACGAACUUCGUACGAACCUGAAUUGUCCAAUUUCAAGGACCAAUUGAUAUCGGAUUGAGUCCAAAACUUGGGGAACAUCAUAAUACGGUGGGAGGAGUCAUUUGGUUUGUUUUGAGUGAAACCCAAUCUCUACAACUAUGCAAUAAAGCAACCACUCCAUUUCAUAACGAACUUCAUAUGAACCUGAAUUAUCCAAUUUCAUGGACCAAUCGAUAUCGGAUUGAGUCCAGAACUUGGGGAACAUCAUAAUACGGUGGGAGGAGUCAUUUGGUGUCUUUUGAGUGAAAUCCAAUGGCUAAAACUAUGCAAUACACCAACCACUCCAUUACAGAACGAACUUCGUACGAACAUGAAUUGUCCAAUUUCAUGGACCAAUAGAUAUCGGAUUGACUUCAAAACUUGGGGAACAUCAUAAUACAGUGAGUGGAGUCAUUUGGUGGGUUUUGAGGGAAAUCCAAUCUCUACAACUGUGCAAUACACCAACCACUCCAUUUCAUAACGAACUUCGUAUGAACAUGAAUUGUCCAAUUUCAUGGACCAAGCGAUAUCGGAAUGAGUCCAAAACUUGGGGAACAUCCUAAUAUGGUGGGAGGAGUCAUUUGGUGUCUUUUGAGUGAAAUCCUAGGGCUAAAACUAUGCAAUACACCAACCACUCCAGUUCAGAACGAACUUCGUGCGAACCUGAAUUGUCAAAUUUCAUGGACCAAUCGAUAUCAGAUUGAGUCCAAAACUUACUGACCAACAUAAUGUUGUGGGAGGUGUCAUUUUGUAAGUUUUGUGUGAAAUCCAAAGGAUAAAACAAUGUAAUACACCAACCACUCCAUUUCAGAACGAGCUUUGUACGAACCUGAAUUGUCCAAUUUCAUAGACCAAUCGAUAUCGGAUUCAGUCCAAAACUUGGGGAACAUAAUAAUAUUGUGAGAGGAGUUAUUUGGUUCGUUUUGAGUGAAAUCCAAUCUCUAGAACUACACAAUACACAAACCACUCCAUUUCAACACGAACUUCGUACGAACCUGAAUUGGCCGAUUUUUGGGACCAGUCGAUGUUGGAUGGAGUCCAAAACUUUGGGAACAUCGUAAUAUAGUGGGAGUAGUCAUUUGGUGGGGUUUGAUUGAAAUCCAGUGGCCAAAACUGUGAAAUACACCAACCACACCAUUUCAGAACGAACUUCGUUCAAAACUGAAUUGUCCAAUUUCAGGGCCAAUCAAUAUCGGAUUGAGUCCAAAACUUGGGGAACAUCAUAAUAUUGUGGGAGGAGUCAUUUGGUGGGUUUUUAUGAAAUCCAAUCUCUAGAACUAUACAAUACACCAAAGCUUCAUACAAACCUUAAUUGUCCAAUUUCAUGGACCAAUCGAUAUCGGAGAUCCAAAACUUGGGGAAGAUCAUAAUAUGGUGGCAGGAGUCAUUUGGUGAGUUUUGAGCAAAAUCGAAUUGCCAAAACUGUGCAAUACAUCAACCACUCCAUUUCAGAACGAACUUCGUUUGAAACUGAAUUGUCCGAUUUUGUGGACCAAUCAAUAUUGGAUUGAGUCCAAAACUUGGGGAACAUCAUAAUAUUGUGGGAGGAGUAAUUUCUUGGGUUUUGAAUGAAAUCCAAUCUCUUGGACGAUACAGUACACCAACCACUCCAUUUCAUAACGAACUUCGUACGAACCUGAAUUGUUCAAUUUCAUGGAAAAAUCAAUAUUGGAUUGAGUGUAAAACUUGGGGAACAUCAUAAUGUUGUGGGAGGAGUCAUUUGGUGAGUUUUGAGUGAAAUCCAAUUGCCAAAACUAUGCAACACACCAACCAAUCCAUUUCAGAACGAGCUUCGUAUGAACCUGAAUAUUCCGAUUUCAUCGACCAAUUGAUAUCGGAUAGAGUCCAAAAAUUGGGGAACGUCAUAAUAUUGUGGCAGUCAUUUGGUGGGUUUUGUGUGAAAUCCAAUCCCUAGAACUAUACAAUACACCAACCACUCCAUUUGGGAACGAACUUCGUACAAACCUGAAUUGUCCGAUUUCGUCGACCAAACGAUAUUAGAUUGAGUCCAAAACUUGGGGAACAUCAAAAUAUUUUCGGAGGAGUCAUUUGUGGGGUUUGAGUGAAAUCCAAUCUCUAGAACCAUACAAUACACCGACCACUCCAUUUCAGAACAUACUUCGAACGAACCUAAAUUGUCCAAUUUCAUGGACUAGUCGAUAUCGAAUUGAGUCCAAAACUUGGGGAACAUCAUAAUGUUGUGGGAGGAGUCAUUUGGUGAGUUUUGAGCAAAAUCUGAUGGCAAAAACAAUGGCAUAGACCAACGACUGCAUUUUAGAACGAACGUCGUACGAAACUAAAUUGUCCGAAUUCGUGGACCAAUCGAUAUCGGAUUGAGUCCAAAACUUGCGGAACAUCAUAAUGUUGUGGGAGGAGUCAGUUGGUGGGUUUUGAGUGAAAUCAAAUCUCUAGAACUAUACAAUGCGCCAACCACUCCAUUUCAGAACGAAGUUCGUAUGAACCUAAAUGUCCAAUUUCAUGGACCAAUCGAUAUCAGAUUGAGUCCAAAACUUGGGGAACAUCAUAAUAUAGUGGGAGGAGUCUAUUAGUGGGUUUUGUGUCAAAUCCAAGGGCAAAAACAAUGCAAUACACCACCCACUUCAUACGAACCUGAAUUGUCCAAUUUCGUGGACCAAUCGAUAUCGGAUUGAGUCCACAACUUGGGAAACAUCAUAAUAUGGUGGGAGGAGUCAUUUAGUGACUUUUGAGUGAAAUCCAAUGGCAAAAACUUUGCAAUACACCAACUACUUCAUUUCAUAACGUACUACGUACGUACUGGAAUUGUCCGAUUUCAUGGACCAAUCGAUAUCGGAUUGAGUACAAAACCUGGUGAACAUCUAAUAUGAUGGGAAGAGUCAUUUGGUGGGUUUGAGUGAAACCCUAUCUCUUGAACCAUGCAAUACACCAACCUCUCCAUUUCAUAAGGAACUUCAUAUGAACAUGAACAGUCCGAUUUCAUGGACCAAUCGAUAUCGAAUUGAGUCCAAAACUUGGGGAACAUCAUAAUAUGGUGGGAGGAGUCGUUUGGUGACUUUUGAGUGAAAUCCGAUGGCUAAAACUAUGCAAAACACCAACCACUCCAUUUCAUCACGAACUUCGUACAAACCUGAAUUGUCCAAUUUCAUAGACCAAUCGAUAUCGGAUUGAGUUCAAAACUUGGGGAACAUCAUAAUAUGGUGGGAGGAGUCGUUUGGUGACUUUUGAGUGAAAUCCAAUGGCUAAAACUAUGCAAUACACCAACCACUCCAUUUUAGAACGAACUUCGUACGAACCUGAAUUGUCCAAUUUCAUGGACCAGUCGAAAUCGGAUUGAGUCCAAAACUUGGGGAACAUAAUAAUACGGUGGGAGGAGUCAUUUGGUGGGUUUUGAGUGAAAUCCAAUCUCUACAACUAUGCAAUACACUAACCACUCCACUUCAUAACUAACUUCAUACGAACUUGAAUUGUCCAAUUUCAUGGACCAAUCGAUAUCGGAUUGAGUCCAAAAUUUGGGGAACAUCAUAAUAUGGUGGGGGAAGUCAUGUGGUGACAUUUGAGUGAAAUCCAACGGCUAAAAGAAUGCAAUACCCCCAACCACUCGAUUUUUUAACAAACUUCGUAUGAACAUGAAUUGUCCAAUUUCAUGGACCAAUCAAUGUCGGAUUGAGUCUAAAACUUGGUGAACAUCAUAAUAUGGUGGGAGGAGUCAUUUGGUGACUUGUGAGUGAAAUCCAAUGGCUAAAAUAUUGAAAUACACAAACCACUCCAUUUCAGAACGAACUUUGUACGAACCUGAAUUGUCCAAUUUCAUGGAUCAAUCGAUAUCGGAUUGAGUCCAAAACGUGGGGAACAUCAUAAUAUGGUGGGCGGAGUCAUUUGGUGACUUUUGAGUGAAAUACAAUGGGUAAAACUUUGCAAUACACCAACCAGUUCAUUUCAGAAUGAACUUCGUACGAACCUGAAUUGUCCAAUUUCAUGGACCAAUCGAUAUCGGAUUGAGUCCAAAACUUGAGGAAAAUCAUAAUAUGAUGGGAGGAGUCAUUUGGAGACUUUUGAUUGAAAUUCAAUGGCUAAAACUAUGCAAUACACUAACCACUCCAUUUCAGAACGAACUUCGUACGAGCCUGAAUUGUCCAAUUUGAUGGACCAAUCGAUAUCGGAUUGAGUCCAAAACUUGGGGAACAUCAUAAUACGGUGGGAGGAGCCAUUUGGUGGCUUUUGAGUGAAAUCCAAUCUCUACAACUAUGCAACACACCAACCACUCCAUUUCAGAACGAACUUCGUACGAACCUGAAUUGUCCAAUUUCAUGGACCAAUCGAUAUCGGAUUGAGUCCAAAACUUGGGGAACAUCAUAAUACGGUGGGAGGACUCAUUUUGUGGGUUUUGAGUGAAAUCCAGUCUCUACAACUAUGCAAUACACCAACCACUCCAUUUUAUAACGCACUUCGUACGAACCUGAAUCGGCCAACUUCAAGGACCAAUCGAUAUCGGAUUGAGUCUAAAACUUGGGGAACAUCCUAAUACGGCGGGAGGAGUCAUUUGGUUGCUUUUGAGUGAAAUCCUAUGGCUAAAACUACGCUAUACACCAACCACUCCAUUUCAGAAGGAACUUCGUACGAAACUGAACUGUCCAAUUUCAUGGACCAAUCGAUAUCGGAUUGAGUCCAAAACAUGGCGAACAUCGUAAUACGAUGGGAGGAGUCAUUUGGUGUCUUUUAAGUGAACUCCUAUGGCUAAAACUACGGAAUACACCAACCACUCCAUUUCCGAACGAACUUCAUACGAACCUGAAUUGUCUAAUUUCAUGGACCAAUCGAUAUUGGAUUGAGUCCAAAACUUGGGGAACAUCAUAAUACGUUGGGAGGAGUCAUUUCGGGGGUUUUGAGUGAAAUCCAAUCUCUACAACUAGGCAAUACACCAACCACUCCAUUUCAUAACGAAUCUCGUACGAAGCUGAAUUGUCCAAUUUCAUGGACCAAUCGAUAUCGGAUUGAGUCCAAAACUUGGGGAACAUCAUAAUAUGUUGGCUGGAGUCAUUUGGUGACAUUUGAGUGAAAUCCAAUGGCUAAAACUAUGCAAUACACUAACCACUCCAUUUCAGAACGAACUUUGUACGAACCUGAAUUGUCCAAUUUCAUGGACCAAUCGAUAUCGGAUUGAGUCCAAAACAAGGGGAACAUCACAAUAUGAUGGGAGGAGUUAUUUGGUGUCUUUUGACUGAAAUCCAAUGGCUAAAACUAUGCAAUACACCAACCACUCCAUUUCAGAACGAACUUCGUACGAACCUGAAUUGUCCAAUUUCAUGGACCAAUCGAUAUCGGAUUGAGUCCAAAACUUGGGGAACAUCAUAAUAUGAUGGGAGGAGUCAUUUGGUUUCAUUUUAGUGAACUCCUGUGGCUAAAACUAUGCAAUACACCAACCACUCCAUUUCAGAACGAACUUCGUACGAACCUGAACUGUCCAAUUUCAUGGACCAAUCGAUAUCGGAUUGAGUCCAAAACAUGGCGAACAUCAUAAUAUGAUGGGAGGAGUCAUUUGGUGUCUUUUAAGUGAACUCCUAUGGCUAAAACUACGGAAUACACCAACCAUUCCAUUUUCGAAUGAACUUCGUACGAACCUGAAUUGUCCAAUUUCAUGGACCAAUCGAUAUCGGAUUGACUCCAAAACUUGGGGAACUUCAUAAUACGGUGGGAGGAGUCAUUUGGUGUCUUUUUAGUUAAAGCCAAUGGCUAAAACUAUGCAAUACACCAACCACUCCAUUUUAGAACGAACUUCGUACGAACCUGAAUUGUCCAAUUUCAUGGACCAGUCGAAAUCGGAUUGAGUCCAAAACUUGGGGAACAUAAUAAUACGGUGGGAGGAGUCAUUUGGUGGGUUUUGAGUGAAAUCCAAUCCCUACAACUAUGCAAUACACUAACCACUCCACUUCAUAACUAACUUCAUACGAACUUGAAUUGUCCAAUUUCAUCGGCCAAUCGAUAUCGUAUUGAGUCUAAAAUAUGGGAAACAUCAUGAUACGGUGCGAGGAGUCAUUUGGUGGGUUUUGAGUGAAAUCCAAUCUCUACAACUAUGAAAUACAACAACCACUCCAUUUCAGAACGAACUUUGUACGAACUUGAAUUGUCCAAUUUCAUGGACCAAUCGAUAUCGAAAUGAGUCCAAACCCUGGGGAACAUCAUAAUACGGUGGGAGGAGUCAUUUAGUGUCUUUUGAGUGAAAUUCAAUGGCUAAAACUAUGCAAUACACCAACCACUCAUUUCAGAACGAACUUCGUACGAACCUGAAUUGUCCAAUUUCAUGAACCAAUCGAUAUAGGAUUGAGUCCAAAACUUGGGGAACAUCAUAAUACGGUGGGAGGAGUCAUUUGGUGUCUUUGAGUGAAAUCCAAUGGCUAAAACUAUGCAAUACACCAACCACUCCAUUCUCAGAUACGAACUUCGUACGAACUUGAAUUGUCCAAUUUCAUGGACCAAUCGAUAUCGGAUUGAGUCCAAAACUUGGGGAACAUCAUAAUACGGUGGGAGGAGUCAUUCGGUGGGUUUUGAGUUAAAUCCAACCUCUAUAACUUUGCAAUACACCAACCGCUCCAUUUCAGAACGAACUUCGUACGAACCUGAAUUGUCCAAUUUCAUGGACCAAUCGAUAUCGGAUUGAGUCCAAAACUUGGGGAACAUCAUAAUACGGUUGGAGGAGUCAUUUGGUGUCUUUUGACUGAAAUCCAAUGGCUACAACUAUGCAAUACACCAACCACUCCAUUUCAGAACGAACUUCGUACGAACCUGAAUUGUCCAAUUUCAUGGACCAAUCGAUAUCGGAUUGGGUCCAAAACUUGGGGAACAUCCUAACACGGUGGCAGGAGUCAUUUGGUGGUUUUUGAGUGAAAUUCAAUCUCUACAACUGUGCAGUACACCAACUACUCCAUGUCAUAAUGAACUUCGUACGAACCUGAAUUGUCCAAUUUCUUGGAAAAAUCGAUAUCGGAUUGAGUCCAAAACUUGGGAUUCAUCAUAAUAACGUUGUAGGAGUCAUUUGGUGGGAUUUGAGUGAAAUCCAAUUUCUACAACUAUGCAAUACACCAACCACUCCAUUUCAGAACGAACUUCGUAUGAACCUAAAUUGUGCAAUUUCAUGGACCAAUCGAUAUCGGCUUGAGUCCAAAACUUGGGGGACAUCAUAAUACGGUGGCAGGAGUCAUUUGGUGCGUUUUGAGUGAAAUCCAAUCUCUACAACUAUGCAAUACACCCACCACUCUAUUUCAGAACGAAGUACGUACGAACCUGAAUUCUCCAAUUUCAUGGACCAAUUGAUAUCGGAUUGAGUCCAAAACGUGGGAACAACAUAAUACGGAGGGAGGAGUCAUUUGGCGGGGUUUCAGUGAAAUCCAAUCUCUACAACUAUGCAAUACACCGACCACUCCAUUUCAUAACGAACUUCGUAUAAACCUGAAUUGUCCAAUUUAAUGGACCAAUCGGUAACGGAUUGAGUCCAAAACUUUGGGAACAUCAUAAUACGGUGGGAGGAGUCAUUUGGUGGGUUUUGAGUGAAAUCCAAUCUCUACAACUAUGCAAUACGCCAACCACUCCAUUUCAUAACGAACUUCGUACGAACCUGAAUUGUCCAAUUUCAUGUUCCAAUCGAUAUCGGAUUGAGUCCAAAACUUGGGGAAUAUCAUAAUACGGUGGGAGGAGUCGUUUGGUGGGUUUUGAGUGAAAUCCAAUCUCUACAACUAUGCAAUACACCAACCACUCCAUUUCAGAACGAACUUCGUACAAACCUGAAUUGUCCAAUUUCAUGGACCGAUCGAUAUCGGAUUGAGUGGAAAACCUGGGGAACAUCAUAAUACGGUGGGAGGUGUCAUUUGGUGUCUUUCAAGUGAAAUCCAAUGGCUAAAACUAUGCAAUACACCAACCACUCCAUUUCCGAACGAAGUUCGUAGGAACCUGAAUUGCCCAAGUUCUUGGACCAAUCGAUAUCGGAUUGAGUCCAAAACUUGGGGAACAACAUAAUAUGGUGGGAGGAGUCAUUUGGUGUCUUUUGACUGAAAUCUAUUGGCUAAAACUAUGCAAUAACCAACCACCCCAUUUCAGAACGAACUUCGUACGAGCCUGAAUUGUCCAAUUUCUUGGACCAAUCGAUAUCGGAUUGAGUCCAAAACAUGGGGAACAUCAUAAUAUGAUGGGAGGAGUCAUUUGAUGUCUUUUGACUGAAAUUCAAUGGCUAAAACUAUGCAAUACACUAACCACUCCAUUUCAGAACGAACUUCGUACGAACCUUAAUUGUCCAAUUUUAUGGACCGAUCAAUAUCGAAUUGAGUGAAAAACCUGGGGAACAUCAUAAUACGGUGGAAGGUGUCAUUUGGUGUCUUUCGAGUGAAAUCCUAUGGCUAAAACUAUGCAAUACACCAACCACUCCAUUUCCGAACGAAGUUCGUAGGAACCUGAAUUGCCCAAGUUCUUGGACCAAUCGAUAUCGGAUUGAGUCCAAAACUUGGGGAACAACAUAAUAUGGUGGGAGGAAUCAUUUGGUGUCUUUUGACUGAAAUCUAUUGGCUAAAACUAUGCAAUAACCAACCACCCCAUUUCAGAACGAACUUCGUACGAACCUGAAUUGUCCAAUUUCAUGGACUAAUCGAUAUCGGAUUGAGUCCAAAACUUGGGGAACAUCAUAACACGGUGGGAGGAGUCAUUUGGUGGGUUUUGAGUGAAAUGCAAUCUCUACAACUAUGCAAUACGCAAACCACUCCAUUUCAUAACGAGCUUCGUACGAACCUGAAUUGUCCAAUUUCAUGUUCCAAUCGAUAUCGGAUUGAGUCCAAAACUUGGGGAAUAUCAUAAUACGGUGGGAGGAGUUGUUUGGUGGGUUUUGAGUGAAAUCCGAUCUCUACAACUAUGCAAUACACCAACCACUCCAUUUCAGAACGAACUUCGUACGAACCUUAAUUGUCCAAUUUCAUGGACCGAUCAAUAUCGAAUUGAGUGAAAAACCUGGGGACCAUCAUAAUACGGUGGAGGGUGUCAUUUGGUGUCUUUCGAGUGAAAUCCAAUGGUUAAAACUAUGCAAAACAACAACCACUCCAUUUCAGAACGAACUUCGUACGAACCUGAAUUGUCCAAUUUCAUGGAACAAUCGAUAUCGGAUUGAGUACAAAACUUUGGGAACAUCAUAAUACGGUGGGAGGAGUCAUUUGAUGGGUUUUGAGUGAAUUCCAAUCUCUACAACUAUGCAAUACACCAACCACUCCAUUUCAGAACGAACUUCGUACGAACCUGAAUUGUCCAAUUUCAUGGAACAAUCGAUAUCGGAUUGAGUACAAAACUUGGGGAACAUCAUAAUACGGUGGGAGGAGUCAUUUGAUGGGUUUUGAGUGAAUUCCAAUCUCUACAACUAUGCAAUACACCAACCACUCCAUUUCAUAACAAACUUCGUACGAACCAGAAUUGUCCAAAUUCUUGUACCAAUCGAUAUCGGAUUGAGUCCAAAACUUGGGGAUCAUCAGAAUACGGUGGGAGGAGUCAUUUGGUGGGAUUUGAGUGAAAUCCAAUAUCUACAACUAUGCAAUACACCAACCACACCAUUUCAUAACUAACUUCGUACGAACCUGAAUUGUCCAAUUUCAUGGACCAAUCGAUAUCGGAUUGAGUCCAAAACUUGCGGAACAUCGUAAUACGGUGGGAGGAGUCAUUUGGUGGGUUUUGAGUGAAAUCCAAUCUCUACAACUAUGCAAUACACCGACCACUCUAUUUCAUAAAGAACUUUGUACGUACCUGAAUUGUCCAAUUUCUUGGACCAAUCUAUAUCGGAUUGAGUCCAAAACGUGGGGAUCAUCAUAAUACGGUGGGAGGAGUCAUUUGGUGGGUUUUGAGUAAAAUCCAAUCUCUACAACUAUGCCAUACACUAACCACUUCAUUUCAGAACGAACUUCGUACGAACCUGAAUUGUCCAAUUUCAUACACCAAUCGAUAUCGGUUGAGUCCAAAACUUGGGGAACAUCAUAAUACGGUGGGAGGAGUCAUUUGGUGGCUUUCGAGUGAAAUCCAAUCUCUAGAACUAUGCAAUACACCAACCACUCCAUUUCAUAAAGAACUUCGUACGAACCUGAAUUGUCCAAUUUCAUGGACCAAUCGAAAUCGGAUUGAGCCCAAAACAUGGAGAUCAUCAUAAUACAGUGGGCGGAGUCAUUUGGUGGGAUUUGAGUGAAAUCCAAUCUCUACAACCAUGCAAUACACCAACCACUCCAUUUCAGAACGAACUUCGUACGAACCUGAAUUGUCCAAUUUCAUGAAACAAUCGAUAUCAGAUUGACUCCAGAACUUGGGGAACAUCGUAAUACGGGGGGAGGAGUCAUUUGGUGGGUUUUGAGCGAAUUCCAAUCUCUACAACUAUGCAACACACCAACCACUCCAUUUCCCAACGAACUUCGAACGAACCUGAGUUGUCCAAUUUCAUGGACCAAUCGAUAUCGGAUUGAGUCCAAAAGUUGGGGAUCAUCUUAAUAUGGUGGGAGGAGUCAUUUGGUGGCUUCUGAGUGAAAUCCAAUCUCUACAACUAUGCAAUACGCCAACCACUCCAUUUCAUAAAGAACUUCGUACGAACCUGAAUUGUCCAAUUUCAUGGACCAAUCGAUAUCAAAUUGAGUCCAAAACUUGGGGAAUAUCAUAAUAUGAUGGGAGGAGUCAUUUGGUGACUGAAAUCCAAUAGCUCAAACUAUGCAAUACACCAACCACUCCAUUUCAGAACGAACUUCGUACGAACCUGAAUUGUCCAAUUUAAUGAACCAAUCAAUAUCGGAUUGACUCCAAAACUUGGGGAAUAUCGUAAUACAGUGGGAGGAGUCAUUUGGUGGGUUUUGAGUGAAAUCCAAUCUCUACAACUAUGCAAUACACCAACCACUCCAUUUCAUAAAGAACUUCGUACGAACCUUAAUUGUCCAAUUUCAUGGACCAAUCGAAAUCGGAUUGAGCCCAAAACAUGGAGAUCAUCAUAAUACAGUGGGCGGAGUCAUUUGGUGGGAUUUGAGUGAAAUCCAAUCUCUACAACCAUGCAAUACACCAACCACUCCAUUUCAGAACGAACUUCGUACGAACCUGAAUUGUCCAAUUUCAUGAAACAAUCGAUAUCAGAUUGACUCCAGAACUUGGGGAACAUCGUAAUACGGGGGGAGGAGUCAUUUGGUGGGUUUUGAGCGAAUUCCAAUCUCUACAACUAUGCAACACACCAACCACUCCAUUUCCUAACGAACUUCGAACGAACCUGAGUUGUCCAAUUUCAUGGACCAAUCGAUAUCGGAUUGAGUCCAAAAGUUGGGGAUCAUCUUAAUAUGGUGGGAGGAGUCAUUUGGUGGCUUCUGAGUGAAAUCCAAUCUCUACAACUAUGCAAUACGCCAACCACUCCAUUUCAUAAAGAACUUCGUACGAACCUGAAUUGUCCAAUUUCAUGGACCAAUCGAUAUCAAAUUGAGUCCAAAACUUGGGGAAUAUCAUAAUAUGAUGGGAGGAGUCAUUUGGUGACUGAAAUCCAAUAGCUCAAACUAUGCAAUACACCAACCACUCCAUUUCAGAACGAACUUCGUACGAACCUGAAUUGUCCAAUUUCAUGAACCAAUCAAUAUCGGAUUGACUCCAAAACUUGGGGAAUAUCGUAAUACAGUGGGAGGAGUCAUUUGGUGGGUUUUGAGUGAAAUCCAAUCUCUACAACUAUGCAAUACACCAACCACUCCAUUUCCUAACGAAUUUCCUACGAACCGGAGUUGCCCAAUUUCUUGGACCAAUCUAUAUCGGAUUGAGUCCAAAACUUGGGGAACAUCAUAAUACGGUGGGAGGAGUCAUUUAGUGGCUUUUGAGUGAAAUCCAACCUCUACAACUAUGCAAUACACCAACCACUGCAUUUCAGAACGAACUUCGUACGAACCUGAACUGUCCAAUUUCAUGGACCAAUCGACAUCGAAUUGAGUCCAAAACUUAGGGGACAUCAUAAUACGGUGGGAGGAGUCAUUUGGUGGGUUUUGACUGAAAUCCAAUCUCUACAACUAUGCAAUACACCAACCACUCCAUUUCAGAACGAACUUCGUACGAACCUGAAUUGUCCAAUUUCAUGGACCAAUCGAUAUCGGAUUGAGUCCACAACUUGGGGAACGUAAUAAUACGGUAGGAGGAGUCAUUUGAUAGGUUUUGAGUGAAAUCCAAUCUUUACAACUAUGCAACACACCAACCACUCCAUUUCAUAACGAACUUGGUACGAACCUGACUUGUCCAAUUUCUUGGACCAAUCUAUAUCGGAUUGAGUCCAAAACUGGGGGAUCAUCAUAAUACGGUGGGAGGAGUCAUUUGGUGGGAUUUGAGUGAAAUCCAAUCUCUACAACUAUGCAAUACACCAACCACUCCAUUUCAUUACGAACUUCGUGCGAACCUGAAUUGUCCAAUUUCACGGACCAAUCUGUAUCGGAUUGAGUCCAAAACUUGGGGAACAUCAUAAUACGGCAGGAGGAGUCAUUUGGUGGGUUUUGAGUGAAAUCCAAUCUUUACAACUAUGCAACACACCAACCACUCCAUUUCAAAACGAACUUCGUACGAACCUAAAUUGUCGAAUUUCAAGGACCAAUCGACAUCGGAUUGAGUCCAAAACUUGGCUAACAUCGUAAUACGAUGGGAGAAUUCAUUUGGUGGCUUUUGAGUGAAAUCCAAUCUCUACAACUAUGCAAUACUCUAACCACUCCAUUUCAUAAAGAACUUCGUACGAAUCUGAAUUGUUCAAUUUCAUGGACCAAUCGAUAUCUGAUUGAGUCCAAAAUUUGGGGAACAUCAUAAUACGGUGGGAGAAUUCAUUUGGUGGCCUUUGGGUGAAAUCCAAUCUCUACAACUAUGCAAUACAUCAACCACUCCAUUUCAUAACGAACUUCGUACGAACCUGAAUUGUCCAAUUUCUUGGACCAAUCCAUAUCGGAUUGAGGCCAAAACUUGGGGAACAUCAUAAUACGAUGGGAGGAUUCAUUUGGGGACUUUUGAGUGAAAUCCAACGGCUAAAACUAUGCAAUACACUAACCACUCCAUUUCAGAACGAACUUCGUACGAACCUGAAUUGUCGAAUUUCAUGGACCAAUCGAUAUCGGAUUGAGUCCAAAACUUAGGGUACAUCAUAAUAUGGUGGGAGAAUUCAUUUGGUGGGUUUUGAGUGAAAUCCAAUCUCUACAACUAUGCAAUACACCAACCACUCCAUUUCAUAAUGAACUUCGUACGAACUUGAAUUGUCCAAUUUCAUGUGCCAAUUGAUAUCUGAUUGAGUCCAAAACUUGGGGAACAUCAUAAUAUGAUGGUUGGAGUCAUUUCGUGACUUUUGAGUGAAAACCAAUGGCUAAAACUUUGCAAUACACUAACCACUCCAUUUCAGGACGAACUUCGUACGAACCUGAAUUGUCCAAUUUCAUGGACCAAUCGAUAUCGGAUUGAGUCCAAAAUGUGGGGAUCACCAUAAUACGGUGGGCGGAGUCAUUUGGUGGGAUUUGAGUGAAAUCCAAUCCCUAAAACUAUGCAAUACACCAACUACUCCAUUUCAGAACGAACUUUGUACGAACCUGAAUUGUCCAAUUUCAUGAACCAAUCGAUAUCGGAUUGACUCCGAAAGUUGGGGAACAUCGUAAUACAGUGGGAGGAGUCGUUCGGUGGGUUUUGAGUGAAAUCCAAUCUUUACAACUAUGCAAUACACCAACCACUCCAUUUCAUAACGAACUUUGUACGAACCUGAGUUGUCCAAUUUCUUGGACCAAUCUAUAUCGGAUUGAGUCCAAAACUUGGGGAACAAUAUAAUACGGUGGGAGGAGUCAUUUAGUGGCUUUUGAGUGAAAUCCAAUUGGUAAAACUGUGCAAUACACCAACCACUCCAUUUCAGAAAGAACUUCGCACGAACCUGAGUUGUCUAAUUUAAUGGACCAAUCGAUAUCGGAUUGAGUACAAAACUUGGGGAACAUCAUAAUACGGUGGGAGUUGUCAUUUGGUGGAUUUUGAGUGAAAUCCAAUCUCUACAACUAUGCAACACCAACCACUCCAUUUCAUGAUGAACUUCGUACGAACCUGAAUUGUCCAAUUCCAUAGACCAAUCGAUAUCGGAUUGAAUCCAAAACUUGGGGAACAUCGUAUUAUGAUGGUUGGAGUCAUUUGGUGACUUUUGAGUGAAAUCCAAUGGCUAAAACUAUGCAAUACACUAACCACUCCAUUUCAGAACGAACUUCGUACGAACCUGAAUUGUCAAAUUUCAUGGACCAAUCGAUAUCGGAUUGAGUCCAAAACAGGGGGAACAUCAUAAUAUAUGGGAGGAGUCAUUUGGUGUCUUCUGAGUGAACUCCUAUGGCUAAAACUAUGCAAAACACCAACCACUAUAUUUCAGAACGAACUUCGUACGAACCUGAAUUGUCCAAUUUCAUCGACCAAUCGGUAUCAGAUUGAGUCCAAAACUUGGGGAACAUCAUAAUACGGUGGGAGGAGUCAUUUGGUGGGUUUUGGGUAAAUUCCAAUGUCUACAACUAGGCAAUACACCAACCACUCCAUUUCAUAACGAACUUCGUACGAACUUGAAUUGUCCAAUUUCACGUUCCAAUCGAUACCGGAUUGAGUCCAAAACAUGGGGAACAUUAUAAUAUCAUGGGAGGACUCGUUUGGUGACUUUUGAGUGAAAUCCAAUUGCUAAAACGAUGCAAUACACUAACCACUCCAUUUCAGAACGAACUUCUUACGAACCUGAAUUGUCCAUUUUCAUGGACCAAUCGAUAUCGGAUUCAGUCCAAAACUUGGGGAACAUCAUAAUACGGUGGGAGGAGUCAUUUGGUGGGUUUUGAGUGAAAUCCAAUCUCUACAACUAUGCAAUACACCAACCACUCCAUUUCAGAAUGUACUUCGUACGAACCUGAAUUGUCCAAUUUCAUGGACCAAUCGAUAUCGGAUUGAGUCCAAAACUUGGGGCAUAUCAUAACACGGUGGGAGGAGUCAUUUGGUGGCUUUUGAGUGGAAUCCAAUCCCUGCAACUAUGCAAUACACCAACUACUCCAGUUCAUGACGAACUUCGAGCGAACCUGAAUUGUCCAAUUUCAUGGACCAAUCGAUAUCGGAUUGUGUCCAAAAGAUGGGGAACAUCAUAAUACGGUCGGAGGAGUCAUUUGGUGGGUUGUGAGUGAAAUCCAAUCUCUUCAACUAUGCAAUACACCAACCACGCAAUUUCAGAACGAACUUCGUACGAAACUGAAUUGUCCAAUUUCAUGGACCAAUUGAUAUCGGAUUGUGUCCGAAACUUGGGGAACAUCAUAAUGUGAUGGGAGCAGUCGUUCGGUGUCUUUUGAGUGAAAUCCAAUGGCUAAAACUAUGCAAUACAGCAACCACUCCAUUUCAGAACGAACUUCGUUCGAACUCGAAUUGCCCAAUUUCAUGGACCAAUCGAUAUCGGAUUGAGUCCAAAACGUGGGGAGCAUCAUAAUAUGGUGCGUGGAGUGAUUUGGUGGCUUUUGAGUGAAAUCCAAUGGGAAAAACUAUAAAAUAUACCAACCACUCCAUUUCAUAACGAACUUCGUACGAACCUGUAUUGUCCAAUUUCGUGAACCAAUCGAUAUCGGAUUGAGUCCAAAACUUGGGCAACACCAUAAUAUGAUGGGAGAAGUCAUUUGGUGACUUUUGAGUGAAAUCCAAUGGCUAAAACUAUGCAAUACACAAAACCACUCCAUUUCAGAACGAACUUCGUACAAACCUGAAUUGUCCAAUUUCAUGGACCAAUCGAUAUCGGAUUGAGUCCAAAACAUGGGGAACAUCAUAAUAUGAUGGGAGGAGUCAUUUCGUGGCUUUUGACUGAAAUCAAAUGGCUAAAACUCUGCAAUACACUAACCACUCCACUCCAUUUCAACAUCAGAAUUGGUUCAAGGGUUUCCUCUCAUGAAUUUAUUUUCACUCAUGUUGUUUAUUUUUGUUUUAAUCUCUUUGAACAUGAUGUGUAACUAAAUUCAUAGCUAGGGAUUUCGAUGUAGCCUUGCAACAUUGAUCCAUGUUUCUAAUUUAGAGUAUUCAGUUCAUCAAUUUAUUUCUUGUUUCAUUCACUGAAUCUAUUGUUCAAUUUGUUUGUCAAUUUUAAUGUUUGAUCACCGCUAGAGUUGCCUACAGAUUAUCUAGACAAGGUUAUAGUAAACAUCAUGCUUAAUCUUGUUAGACAUGUGAAUGAAUGAAGAGAAUGCUAUGCAAACAUCAUGCUGUGUAUUUUCUUUGGUUCUUUAACGUUUUCUUGCAUGCUAAUGACUCUUAACUUGGAACCAAAGUUGAACAUCCCAACUAGGUUGCAGAUUAGGAGAAUUUGAUCAAAACCACACAUCAUAUGGCUGAUCAUAUAUAUGUAAAACGAACUCUGGAAACAGGUUGGUAGUUGAGUACGGUUUAAUUUUAUAAACAUGGAAUUAGUUUUGCAAUGGUGAAUUCGAAAUCCCUGGUCUCUUCCCUAUUCUUUCUACAUCAAUAUAUUAUUCACUACUACAUUCUUUUUGCAUUGGAAGUUAUUUUUCAUUUACAACACAAAAACUACUUUCAAAUUGUCACUUUCAUUUUUAGUUAGGGUUCUUUCGAAACUAGUAAUUUAUAGAGGUCCAAUCGGUCCCUGUGGUUCGAUACCCUUACUUGUACCAUUAUACUAACCAUAUAUUGGCACUUGGAAGGAACACAACAAAAUUUUGGCGCCGUUGCCGGGGACUGAUUUCAAUCUUCUAUAAUUGCUUGUUCUCAAACCCUAAUUUCAUUUUUAUUUUUGUUUCUCAGGUAGUAUAUGUCAGAUACACUUGCUGAGAUAGGCCAAAGACUUGAACGGUUGAAGAGCAACACUUUUGAGAAGUCUAUAUCAGCUAGUGCCCAAACUAGCAGUGUAGAAGAGGACAAUAGUUCUUCUGGCCCAACGAGUGUAGAUUCUUUCGAUAACUCUAAUUCUGACAGAGAAGAAGAGAUGGCUGACAAUAACGAUGAAAAUCGAGCUUUGGAAGAUUAUGCUCAACCGGUUAUACCAAAUUCCCCUUCGUGCAUCUUGCUGCCUACUGAAGCUAGAAAUUAUGAUCUCAAAUCUUCACAUUUUCACAUGCUUCCUUCUUUUUAUGGUUUACCUAACGAAGAUCCAUUAGCCCAUAUUAAGGAAUUCUACAAUGUUGUGAGUAGUUUACCUUUGCAGGGAGUGACUGAAGCAAAUCUGAGGAUGAGGGUUUUUCCUUAUACAUUGAAAGAUAGAGCAAAGGGUUGGCUAAUGACUUUAGCACCUGGUUCGCUCACCACUUGGGAUGCCGUAGCUAAGAAAUUUUUGGAGAAGUUCUUCUCUACUCAAAAGACAGCUACUUUGAGAGGGCAAAUCUUUAACUUUAAACAAGAUGAUGGAGAACCUUUCAAUGAAUGUUGGGAGCGUUUCAAAGGCCUGUUGCUGCAAUGUCCACAUCAUGGGUUACCUCUUUACUUACAAAUGCAAAUUUUUUAUGAGGGACUAACCCAAACAUGUCAAUCGACUGUUGAUAAUGCAGCAGGUGGAGCUUUGAAGAAAAAAAAUGCUCAAGAGUCAUAUAACAUUUAUGAGAUGUUGGGAUCUAAUGCUCCACACAAAGAUACAAGAGGUAAACGAGUUGGAGUGUAUGAAAUGAGUUCUAAUAAUGAUCUGGCCUUGCAGGUGGCUAGUUUGGAAAAGAAGCUCGAUUCUAUGAUCAAUAUGGUGCCUAAGAUAGCUGAGGUGUGUACCAUUUGCAAUAUACCAGGUCAUCCAACUUAUCAAUGCUCGGCUAGUGAGGCUUAUCCCGAAUUUGUUCAAGAGCAAGUGAAUCUCAUGAAUUCUUACAAUCAGAGGCCGAGGAAUGACCCGUUCUCUAAUACAUAUAACCCGGGUUGGAGAGAUCAUCCCAAUCUCUCAUGGAAGAAUAACAAUCAAUUUCAAAAUUUCCAACCAAAGCAUGCCACUACGCUUAAAGAUACGGUCAAAAUGCUAGCUCAAAACACUGUUCAAUUCCAGCAAACUACCAAUAGUACUCUCCAACAACAUUCAGCUGCUCUAACCAAAAUGGAGACACAAUUAGGUCAGAUUGCUGAUGCUUUGAGUCAAAGAGAACCCGGAAAAUUUCCAAGCCAACCGGUGAUACUUCAAAGGAACCAAGAGCAAGCCAAAGCGGUCAUAACUCUUAGAAGUGGUAAGGUUAUUAAUAAUGGAGUUGGCAAUGAAGUUACUAAUGAAUCUGAUCAUGUGAAUGCAGGUCCCACUCAAGAAGAGAAUGAGAAACCGAAUGACGAUCCAAGCAAUGCCACUUCUUCGUUUGAAGCUCCAAAUUUUCACAAGGCUGAAAAACCUUACUCUCCACCCAUUCCAUUUCCUGGAAGACUUGCCAAAAGCAAGCAGGAUAAGUCAUUUAAAGAAAUUUUUGAUAUAUUAAGUAAAGUGAAUGUUAAUUUACCUUUGCUUGAUGUCAUUAGGAAUAUGCCAGCGUAUGGGAAAUUUUUCAAGGAGCUAAACACUUACAAGAGGAAGUAUGGACCUAAUGAGAAGGUGUUGGUGUCUGAAAAUGUGAGUGCUGCGCUUCAAAGAAAGCUCCCACCAAAACUCAAGGAUCCGGGCAGUUUUUCUAUCAAUAUCACCAUUGGAGAUAAGCUAGUUGAAAAGGCUAUGCUUGACUUGGGGGCUAGCAUCAAUUUAAUGCCCUAUUCAGUGUACCUUCAAUUAGGUUUGGGGGGUUUGAAGGCAACAACUAUUUCAUUGCAACUUGCUGAUCGAUCAGUGAAAUAUCCAAGAGGUAUAGUGGAAGAUAUCUUAGUUCAAGUUGACAAACUAAUUUUGCCUGCUGAUUUUGUAGUGUUGGACAUGGAAGAGGCUCCUCUACCUGAUCGUGAGUUACCUAUUAUUCUUGGGAGACCCUUUAUGGCCACGGCAAAGACGAUCAUAGAUGUGCAAAAUGGUCUCCUCACCAUGACUGUGCUAGGAGAAACUGUACAAUUCAAAGUGUUUGAAUCUCUUUCUCACCCUUCUAGUUCAAUUGAUUGUUGUUCGAUUGAUGUGCUUGAUUCACUUGUUUUCUCUAAGUUUUUGCUGGCACAAUCCAAUGAUCCAUUACAAUAUGUUUUGAGUCAAUCUCAAAAUGACUUUGAUGAAGAAGUGCUCAUGGAGAUGGUGGCUGCCUUGGAAGCAUUAAAAUAAUAUCCCUCCACAUUUUCGCCUCUUAUAGAGCCAUUAGAACCAUCUACCACACAUCUGAUCCCUUCUAUUGUUAAACCUCCAAAACUAGACCUUAAACCACUUCCAUCACAUCUAAAAUAUGCUUACCUAGCUGAGUUUGAAACUCUCCCAGUUAUAAUAGCAUCUGACCUCACCCGUUUGGAAGAAGAUAAGCUAAUUAGGGUGCUAAAAGAGUUCAAAUCAGCCAUUGGUUGGUCUAUUGCAGAUAUCAAGGGAAUAAGCCCUACCAUGUGUCUGCAUCGAAUUUUAUUGGAGGGAGCGAAACCAACUCGUGAACCACAAAGAAGGCUCAAUCCACACAUGAAGGAAGUAGUGAGAGCUGAAGUGCUGAAGUUGCUAGAUGUGGGUAUCAUAUACCCGAUUUCUGAUAGCAAAUGGGUCAGCGCUGUUCACGUAGUGCCUAAGAGGAUUGGAAUCACAGUGGUAAAAAAUGAGCAUAAAGAGCUUGUUCAAACGAGACCUGCAGCUAGUUGGCGUGUUUGCACCGAUUACAGGAAGUUGAAUUCAGACACUAGAAAAGCGUCUUUCUGCAAACAGCGUUCGCCAGUUGAAGUUCAUACCUUUUUUCUUCUAUUUUAAUGGGGAUUUCCCUUUUUUAAGUGCUCUCCCCUGCUAUCGCUGCGCUUAUUAUUUUCCUAUGCCUUUUAUUGAUCAAAUGGUUGAGCGAUUAGCUGGUCACUCAUAUUAUUGUUUUCUUGAUGGAUAUUCAGGUUAUAAUCAAAUUGUGAUUGCUUCGGAAGAUCAAGAGAAGACUACAUUCACCUGUCCUUUUGACACUUUUGCAUAUAGGAGGAUGCCUUUUGGCCUUUGCAAUGCCCCAGCAACAUUCCAAAGAUGUAUGCUAGCAAUCUUUUCAGAUAUGAUUGAGAGAUUUAUUGAGGUAUUCAUGGACGAUUUUUCAGUUUUUGGUUCUUCUUUUGAUAAUUGUCUUAACCAUCUCUCUCUAGUGCUUCAAAGAUGUCAGGAAACAAAUUUGAUUCUCAACUGGGAAAAGUGUCAAUUUAUGGUGAAACAAGGUGUUGUGUUGGGGCAUGUAAUAUCCAACAAGGGUAUUGAAGUUGACAAAGCAAAAAUUGACAUCAUCUCAAAUAUGGCAGCCCCUGCUUCAGUGAAGGGAGUGAGAAGCUUUCUAGGACAUGCUGGUUUUUAUCGUCGUUUCAUUAAGGAUUUUUCCAAGAUCACUCAUCCAUUGUGCAAUCUUUUGGCCAAAGAUGUUGUAUUUCACUUUGAUAAAGAUUGUAUGAAUGCAUUUAAUACCUUGAAACGUGAACUAACCUCUGCUCCUAUCAUUAUGGCACCAGAUUGGUCUUUGCCUUUUGAGCUAAUGUGUGAUGCCUCUGACUAUGCUAUUGGUGCUGUUUUAGGUCAAAGAGUAAAUAAGCUGCCACACGUAAUAUACUAUGCAAGUCUGACGUUAAACGAUGCUCAACUCAAUUACUCUACAACUGAGAAGGAGUUGCUUGCUGUUGUGUUUGCUUUAGAGAAAUUUCGUUCAUAUCUUGUUGGCUCUAAAGUUAUUGUUUACUCUGAUCAUGCAGCUCUUAGGUUUUUGUUGACCAAGAAAGAUGCUAAACUACGUUUGAUCAGAUGCAUACUCUUGUUUCAAGAGUUUGACCUAGAAAUUCGAGACAAGAAAGGGAGUGAAAAUGUUGUUGCUGAUCACUUGUCAUGUCUUGUUGAUGAAAACCAUGGAGAUGGACAAAUUUUGCCUCUCAACGAAUCAUUCCCGGAUGAACAACUCUUUGUCAUUCAAGAUAAAGAGCCAUGGUAUGCUGAUUUUGUCAAUUAUCUUGCUUCUGGUGUAAUUAGAGAUGAUUUGACUUUUCAGGAGAGAAAGAAGUUCUUUUCAAUGGUGAAACACUACAUGUGGGAUGAGCCCUAUUUGUUCAAGUAUUGCCCUGACCAAAUCAUUCGAAGAUGUGUUCCAGAGAGUGAGCAGUGAAGCAUACUAACAUUCAGUCAUGCAUUGGCAUGCGGAGGUCAUUUCAGUGCCAAAAAGACAGCUUUAAAGGUUUUACAAUCUGGUUUCUUUUGGCCUACAUUGUUUAAAGAUGCUUUUGAUUUUUGCUCUAAGUGUGAUAGGUGUCAGAAAAUGGGGAGCAUCAGUCGCAGGAAUGAAAUGCCAUUAAACAACAUUUUAGUGAUAGAGCUGUUUGAUGUGUGGGGAAUUGACUUCAUGGGACCAUUCCCAUCUUCUUUUGGAUACAUAUACAUACUAGUGGCAGUAGAUUAUGUAUCAAAAUGGGUUGAGGCAACAGCUACACGAACUAAUGAUCACAAAGUUGUUUUGAAUUUUCUCAAAGAUAUUAUUUUCACUAGGUUUGGAACUCCGAGAGCUAUCAUUAGCGAUGGUGGCAGUCACUUCUGCAACAAACCUUUCGAGGCAUUGAUGAAGAAGUACAACAUCACACAUAAAGUGGCAACUCCAUACCAUCCUCAAACCUCUGGACAAGUGGAAAUCAGCAAUAGAGAAAUAAAGAACAUCUUGAUGAAAACCGUCGGCCUUACAAGGAAGGAUUGGUCACUAAGGUUGAAUGAUGCACUUUGGGCGUAUCGAACAGCGUACAAGACCCCAAUUGGAAUGAGCCCUUAUCGACUGGUGUUUGGAAAGGCAUGUCAUCUGCCAAUGGAGCUCGAGCACCGUGCAUAUUGGGCCAUAAAGAAGUUCAAUUUUGAUCUCAAAGAAGCUGGUACAGUGAGGAAGCUCCAACUCAAUGAGUUGGAAGAGCUCAGAAAUGAAUCAUAUGAGAAUGCAAGGAUCUACAAAGAACGAACCAAGCUCUACCAUGACAAAGCAAUUCUUAGGAAGGAGUUUUAACCAGGUAUGAAAGUACUUUUGUAUGACUCACGUUUGCGACUGUUUCCAGGUAAAUUGAAGUCUAGAUGGGUUGGACCAUUCAAAGUGCUUCAAGUAUUUCCCCAUGGAGCUAUGGAGAUAGAAAACAUCAAGAAUGGCACCCAUUUUAAGGUCAAUGGACAGCGUUUGAAGCCUUAUUUGGAGAAUGUUUCACAGGAGCAGGUUUAUGUCGUUAUAGAUUCUCUCGAGUUUAUGGCAACUUAGACACACUACCAUGUCUUGCCUAGACAUUAAAUAAAGCGCUUGCUAGGAGGCAACCUAGCUGGGUUUGUGUUCUUUCCGUUUAUUUGUGUUGGUUUUUAGUUUUUAUUUUAUUUCUUUCCGUACACACUGUGCCAAUUUGCAUUGCAUCCAUUCCAUUCAUUUUUUUUUUCAAAGCGUCGAGGACAAUGCUUAGUUUAGGUUUGGGGGUGUGGGAUUUUCGUUUGUUUUUAGUUCUGGUUAAAGUUUGCUUUUGCUUACUAAUGUGAAUGUAUAUGAGGGCUAUGGUUUACAAUGAGGACUACUGUGAUGUCAUGAAAAAGUUCAUAUCAUAUCUUUUUUUUUCAAAGCUGUUACUCUUGGAAUCAUGGUGGUUAAAGUAUCAUGCUCAAAUUCUAGAAGAAGAAUUGUGGAGACUACCCUAGUGAGUGAUUUUGAGCCUAUUUACUUCUUUGAGAGGGUUUAAAGUGUUUGUACUCCUAUCUUUUUGCUUCAAUGUCAUUUCAAAUUAUCUCAUUAUUUUUGUUUGAUUGAACGCUAAGAAUUGUUCGCUUUCACAGAUACCAUGUGUUUGGUAACAUUCAUGAAUGAAUUCAUUGAGACGAUGUUAGGCUAUGCAUGUCUUAACCACCAAAAGGCCUAAUUUCUUACCUUUAUGUGUGUGCCAUUACCCCAUUUUGAAGCCAAUCAUUUUUAGCCAUUUUCUUUUCUCACAUUUGUUUCCCCAUAUCCUUUUAUCUCAAUAUGAGAUAUUUAGCCCAUUACAGCUAUACCCUAUAGUUUGGGGAAUACCAAAGUGAUGAAGACAAAGAUAAUUCGAGCUCUACAUCAAGAAAGUGGUAUGUACCGAGGUAUGUGUGCUGGAAUUGUAGAAAAAAAGAAAGAAAAAAGAAACAAAGUUUUAGAAAAAGAAAAGAAAAGAAAAAGACUCAAAGAGGAUGUAAUUUCUAAAUUCUUCCAUUAUCGCACGGGUCCUGGAUGCCACGAACAAACAACAAAGAUCAAUUCAAGAGGAGAGCUUGCUGCUUUCACAAGGAAGACACUUUGGUAUGUCCCAAGCUUUAGUAUUUCCUAUCCUUUCUUUCAUAGCCCCUGACCUAAGCCUUACAUUACACACCUUGUGAAAGACCUAGCUGAUCUUUGGGGAUGUAUUCAUGGGUGCUGCUAAGUAUGCGUGCUAUCCAUAAUCUUAGUGUUUAAUUCCUUUCAUGAGAUAUGUCCAGAAAUUGUGCUUUUAUUUCAUAUCUCAUAUGUGUGGAUUUUGAUUCCCUUUUACAUAACUUCACUCACAUAUGUUUGAGGAGAGACCACACCUUAGGAUCUGAGUGAAAAUUUGAGUGCUAUCUGUGAGGACUAGAGUUGAGGCGAUUUCUAUCUUCGGCAUGAUGUGUAACUAAAUUCAUAGCUAGGGAUUUCGAUGUAGCCUUGCAACAUUGAUCCAUGUUUCUAAUUUAGAGUAUUCAGUUCAUCAAUCUGUUUCUUGUUUAAUUCACUGAAUCUAUUGUUCAAUUUGUUUGUCAAUUUUAAUGUUUGAUCACCAUUAGAGUUGCCUACAGAUUAUCUAGACAAGGUUAUAGUAAACAUCAUGCUUAAUCUUGUUAGACAUGUGAAUGAAUGAAGAGAAUGCUAUGCAAACAUCAUGCUGUGUAUUUUCUUUGGUUCUUUAACGUUUUCUUGCAUGCGAAUGACUCUUAACUUGGAACCAAAGUUGAACAUCCCAACUAGGUUGCAGAUUAGGAGAAUUUGAUUAAAACCACACAUCAUAUGGCUGAUCAUAUAUAUGAAAAACGAACUCUGGAAACAGGUUGGUAGUUGAGUACGGUUUAAUUUUAUAAACAUGGAAUUAGUUUUGCAAUGGUGAAUUCGAAAUCCCUUGUCUCUUCCCUAUUCUUUCUACAUCAAUAUAUUAUUCACUACUACAUUCUUUUUGCAUUGGAAGUUAUUUUUCAUUUACAACACAAAAACUACUUUCAAAUUGUCACUUUCAUUUUUAGUUAGGGUUCUUUCAAAACUAGUAAUUUAUAGAGGUCGAAUCGGUCCCUGUGGUUCGACACCCUUACUUGUACCAUUAUACUAACCAUAUAUUGGCACUUGGAAGGAACACAACAGAGGAUUCACUUGGUGGGUUUUGAGUGAAAUCCAAUCUCUACAACUGUGCAAUAUACCAAGCACUCCAUUUCGUAACGAACUUCAUACGAACCUGAAUUGUCCAAUUUCAUGGACCAAUCGAUAUUGUAUUGAGUCCAGAACUUGGGGAACAUAAUAAUACUGUGGGAGGAGUCAUUUGGUGGGUUUUGAGUGAAAUCCAAUCUCUACAACUAUGCAAUACACCAACCACUCCAUUUCAUAACGAACUUCGUACGAACCUGAAUUGUCCAAUUUCAUGGACCAAUCGAUAUCGGAUUGAGUCCAAAACUUGGCGAACAUCAUAAUAUGAUAGGAGGAGUAUUUGAUGAAUUUUGAGUGAAAUCCAAUGGCAAAAACUAUGCAAUACACUAACCACUCCAUUUCAGAAUGAACUUCGUACGAACCUGAAUUGUCCAAUUUCGUGGACCAGUCGAUAUCGGAUUGAGUCCGAAACUUGGGGAACAUCAUAAUAUGAUGGGAGGAGUCAUUUGGUGCAUUUUGAGUGAAAUCCAAUGGCCAACACUAUGCAACACACCAACCACUCCAUUUCAUAACGAAUUUCGUACGAACCUGAAUUGUCCAAUUUGAUAGACAAAUCGAUCUCGAAUUGAGUCCAAAACUUGGGGCACAUCAUAAUAUGAUGGGAGGAGUCAUUUGGUGACUUUUGAGUGAAAUCCAAUGGCUACAACAUUGCAAUACACUAACCACUCCAUUUCAGAACGAACUUCGUACGAACCAGAAUUGUCCAAUUUCACGGACCAAUCGAUAUCGAAUUGAGUCCAAAACUUGGGGAACAUCGUAAUAUGGUGGGAGAAGUCAUUUGGUGGGUUUUGAGUGAAAUCCAAACUCUACAACUACGCAAUACACCAACCCCACCAUUUCAUAAUGAUAUUGGACAAACCUGAAUUGUCCAAUUUCAUGGACCAAUCAAUAUCAGAUUGAUGGAAAAACUUGGGAAACAUCAUAAUACGAUGGUUGGAGUCAUUUGGUGACUUUUGAGUGAAAUCCAAUGGCUAAAACUUUGCAGUACACUAACCACUCCAUUUUAGAACGAACUUCGUACGAACCUGAAUUGUCCAAUUUCAUGGACCAAUCGAUAUCGGAUUGAGUCCGAAACUUAGGGAACAUCGUAAGAUGAUGAGAGGAGUCAUUUGGUGCCUUUUCAGUGAAAUCCAAUGGCUAAAACUAUGCAAUACACCAACCACUCCAUUUCAUAACGAACUUCGUACGAGCAUGAAUUGUCCAAUUUCAUGGACCAAUCGAUAUCGGCUUAAGCCCAAAACUUGGGGAACAUCAUACUGCGGUGGGAGGAGUCAUUUGGAGGGUUUUGAGUGAAAUUCAAUCACUACAACUAUGCAGUACACCAACCACUCCAUUUCAUAACGAACUUCGUACGAACCUGAAUUGUCCAAUUUCAUGAACCAAUCGAUAUCGGAUUAAGUCCAAAACUUGGGGCACAUCAUAAUGUGAUGGGAGGAGUCAUUUGGUGACUUUUGAGUGAAAUCCAAUGGCUAAAGCUAUGCAAUACACUAACCACUCCAUUUCAGAACGAACUUCGUACGAACCUGAAUUGUCCAAUUUCAUGGACCAAUCGAUAUUGGAUUGAGUCCAAAACUUGGGGAACAUCAUAAUAUGGUGGGAGAAGUCAUUUGGCGGGUUUUGAGUGAAAUCCAAUCUGUACAACUAUGUAACACACCAACCACUCCAUUUCAUAACGAACUUCGUACGAACAUGAAUUGUCCAAUUUCAUAGACCAAUCGAUAUCGAAUUGAGUCCAAAACUUGGGGAACAUCAAAAUAUGGUGGGGAGAAGUCAUUUGGUGGGUUUUGAGUGAAAUCCAAUCUCUACAACUACGCAAUACACCAACCCCACCAUUUCAUAACGAUAUCGGACGAACCUGAAUUGUCCAAUUUCAUGGACCAAUCAAUAUCAGAUUGAUGGCAAAACUUGGGAAACAUCAUAAUAUGAUGGUUGGAGUCAUUUGGUGACUUUUGAGUGAAAUCCAAUGGCUAAAACUUUGCAGUACACUAACCACUCCAUUUUAGAACGAACUUCGUACGAACCUGAAUUGUCCAAUUUCAUGGACCAAUCGAUUUCGGAUUGAGUCCGAAACUUAGGGAACAUCGUAAGAUGAUGAGAGGAGUCCUUUGGUGCCUUUUCAGUGAAAUCCAAUGGCUAAAACUAUGCAAUACACCAACCACUCCAUUUCAUAACGAACUUCGUACGAGCAUGAAUUGUCCAAUUUCAUGGACCAAUCGAUAUCGGCUUAAGCCCAAAACUUGGGGAACAUCAUAAUACGGUGGGAGGAGUCAUUUGGAGGGUUUUGAGUGAAAUUCAAUCUCUACAACUAUGCAGUACACCAACCACUCCAUUUCAUAACGAACUUCCUACGAACCUGAAUUGUCCCAUUUCAUGGACCAAUCGAUAUCGGAUUAAGUCCAAAACUUGGGGCACAUCAUAAUGUGAUGGGAGGAGUCAUUUGGUGACUUUUGAGUGAAAUCCAAUGGCUAAAGCUAUGCAAUACACUAACCACUCCAUUUCAGAACGAACUUCGUACGAACUUGAAUUGUCCAAUUUCAUGGACCAAUCGAUUUUGGAUUGAGUCCAAAACUUGGGGAACAUCAUAAUACGGUGGGAGGAGUCAUUUGGUGGCUUUUGAGUGAAAUCGAAUCGCUACAACUAUUCAAUACACCUACCACUCCAUUUCAUAACGAACUUCGUACGAACCUGAAUUGUCCAAUUUCAUAGACCAAUCGAUAUCGGAUUGAGUCCAAAGCUUGGGGAACAUCAUAAUACGGUGGGAGGAGUCAUUUGGUGGCUUUUGAGUGAAAUCCAAUCUCUACAACUAUGCAAUAUUCCAACCACUCCAUUUCAUAACAAACUUCGUACGAACCAGAAUUGUCCAAUUCCUUGGACCAAUCGAUAUCGGAUUGAGUCCAAAACUUGGGGAACAUCAUAAUACGGUGGGAGGAGUCAUUUGGUGGGUUUUCAGUGAAAUCCAAUCUCUACAACUGUGCAAUACACCAAGCACUGCAUUUCAUAACGAACUUCAUACGAACCUGAGUUGUCCAAUUUCAUGGACCAAUCGAUAUUGGAUUGAGUCCAAAACUUGGGGAACGUCAUAAUAUGAUGGGAGGAGUCAUUUGGUGACUUUUGAGUGAAAUCCAAUGGCAAAAACAAUGCAAUACACUAACCACUCCAUUUCAGAAUGAACCUCGUACGAACCUGAAUUGUCCAAUUUCAUGGACCAGUCGAUAUCGGAUUGAGUCCGAAAGUUCGGAACAUCAUAAUAUGAAGGGAGGAGUCAUUUGGUGCCUUUUGAGUGAAAUCCAAUGGCCAAAACUAUGCAAUACACCGACCACUCCAUUUCAAAACGAACUACGUACGAACCUGAAUUGUCCAAUUUCAUGGACCAAUCCAUAUCGGAUUGAGGCCAAAACUUGGGGAACAUCAUAAUAUGAUGGUUGGAGUCAUUUGGUGACUUUUGAGUGAAAUCCAAUUUCUACAACUAUGUAAUACACCAACCACUCUAUUUCAUAAUGAACUUCGGACGAACCUGAAUUGUCCAAUUUCAUGGUCCAAUCGAUAUCGGAUUAAGUCCAAAACUUGGGGCACAUCAUAAUAUGAUGGGAGGAGUCAUUUGCUAACUUUCGAGUGAAAUCCAAUGGCUAAAACUAUGCAAUACACUAACCACUCCAUAUUAGAACGAACUUCGUACGAACCUGAAUUGUUCGAUUUCGUGGACCAAUCGAUAUCGGAUUGAGUCCGAAACUUGGGGAACAUCACAAUAUUGUGGGAGGAGUCAUUUGGUGCCUUUCGAGUGAAAUCCAAUGGCCAAACUAUGCAAUACACGAACCACUACAUUUCAUAACGAACUUCGUACGAACCUGAAUUGUCCAAUUUCAUGGACCAAUCGAUAUCGAUUGAGUCCAAAACUUGGGGAACAUCAUAAUAUGAUGGGAGGAGUCAUUUGGUGACUUUUGAGUGAAAUCCAAUGGCAAAAACUGUGCAAUAAACUAACCAUUCCAUUUCAGAUUGAACUUCGUACGAACUUGAAUUGUCCAAUUUCAUGGACCAGUCGAUAUCGGAUUGAGUCCGAAAGUCGGGGAACAUCAUAAUAUGAAGGGAGGAGUCAUCUGGUGCCUUUUGAGUGAAAUCCAAUGGCCAAAACAAUGCAAUACACCGACCACUCCAUUUCAUAACGAACUACGUACGAACCUGAAUUGUCCAAUUUCAUGGACCAAUCGAUAUCGAAUUGAGUCCAAAACUUGGGGCACAUCAUAAUAUGAUGGGAGGAGUCAUUUGCUGACUUUUGAGUGAAAUCCAAUGGCAAAAACUAUGUAAUACACCAACCACUCCAUUUCAUAACGAACUUCGGACGAACCUGAAUUGUCCAAUUUCAUGGACCAAUCGAUAUCGGACUGAGUCCAAAACUUGGGGCACAUCAUAAUAUGAUGGGAGGAGUCAUUUGCUGACUUUCGAGUGAAAUCCAAUGGCUAAAACUAUGCAAUACACUAACCACUCCAUUUCAGAACGAACUUCGUACUAACCUUAAUUGUUCGAUUUCGUGGACCAAUCGAUAUCGGAUUGAGUCCGAAACUUGGGGAACAUCGCAAUAUUAUGGGAGGAGUCAUUUGGUGCCUUUUGAGUGAAAUCCAAUGGUCAAAACUAUGCAAUACACCAACCACUACAUUUCAUAACGAACUUCGUACGAACCUGAAUUGUCCAAUUUCAUGGACCAAUCGAUAUCGAAUUGAGUCCAAAACUUGGGGCACAUCAUAAUAUGAUGGGAGGAGUCAUUUGCUGACUUUUGAGUGAAAUCCAAUGGCAAAAACUAUGCAAUACACUAACCACUCCAUUUCAGAACGAACUUCGUACGAACCUGAAUUGUCCAAUUUCAUGGACCAAUCGAUAUCGGAUUGAGUCCAAAACUUGGGGAACAUCAUAAUAUGAUGGGAGGAGUCAUUUGGUGACUUUUGAGUGAAAUCCAACGGCAAAAACUAUGCAAUACACUAACCAUUCCAUUUCAUAAUGAACUUCGUACGACCUGAAUUUUCCAAUUUCAUGGACUAGUCGAUAUCGGAUUGAGUCGGAAACUUCGGGAACAUCAUAAUAUGAUGGGAGGAGUCAUUUCGUGCCUUUUGAGUGAAAUCCAAUGGCCAAAACUAUGCAAUACACCGACCACUCCAUUUCAUAACGAACUACGUUCGAAUCUGAAUUGUCCAAUUUCUUGGACCAAUCGAUAUCGGAUUGAGUCCAAAACUUAGGGAACAUCAUAAUACGGUGGGAGGAGUCAUUUGGUGGGUUUUGAGUGAAAUCCAAUCUCUACAACUGUGCAAUACACCAAGCACUGCAUUUCAUAACGAACAUCAUACGAACCUGAAUUGUCCAAUUUCAUGGACCAAUCGAUAUUGGAUUGAGUCCAAAACUUGGGGAACGUUAUAAUAUGAUGGGUGGAGUCAUUUGGUGACUUUUGAGUGAAAUCCAAUGGCAAAAACUAUGCAAUACACUAACCACUCCAUUUCAGAAUGAACUUCGUACGAACCUGAAUUGUCCAAUUUCGUGGACCAGUCGAUAUCGGAUUGAGUCCGAAACUUGGGGAACAUCAUAAUAUGAUGGGAGGAGUCAUUUGGUGCAUUUUGAGUGAAUCCAACGGCCAACACUAUGCAACACACCAACCACUCAAUUUCAUAACGAACUUCGUACGAACCUGAAUUGUCCAAUUUGAUAGACAAAUCGAUAUCGAAUUGAGUCCAAAACUUGGGGCACAUCAUAGUAUGAUGGGAGGAGUCAUUUGGUGCCUUUUGAGUGAAAUCCAAUGGCAAAAACUGUGCAAUACACUAACCAUUCCAUUUCAGAAUGAACUUCGUACGAACCUGAAUUGUCCAAUUUCAUGGACCAGUCAAUAUCGGAUUGUGUCCGAAAGUCGGGGAACAUCAUAAUAUGAAGGGAGGAGUCAUCUGGUGCCUUUUGAGUGAAAUCCAAUGGCCAAAACUAUGCAAUACCCCAACCACUACAUUUCAUCACGAACUUCGUACGAACCUGAAUUGUCCAAUUUCAUGGACCAAUCGAUAUCGGAUUGAGUCCAAAACUUGGGGAACAUCAUAAUAUCAUGGGAGGAGUCAUUUGGUGACUUUUGAGUGAAAUCCAAUGGCAAAAACUAUGCAAUACACUAACCAUUCCAUUUCAUAAUGAACUUCGUACGACCUGAAUUUUCCAAUUUCAUGGACUAGUCGAUAUCGGAUUGAGUCCGAAACUUGGGGAACAUCAUAAUAUGAUGGGAGGAGUCAUUUCGUGCCUUUUGAGUGAAAUCCAAUGGCCAAAACUAUGCAAUCCACCAACCACUCCAUUUCAUAACGAACUUCGUACGAACCUGAAUUGUCCAAUUUCAUGGGCCAAUCGAUAUCGGAUUGAGGCCCAAACUUGGGGAACAUCAUAAUAUGAUGGUUGGAGUCAUUUGGUGACUUUUGAGUGAAAUCCAAUCUCUACAACUAUGCAAUACACCAACCACUCCAUUUCAUAACGAACUUCGGACGAACCUGAAUUGUCCAAUUUCAUGGACCAAUCGAUAUCGAAUUGAGUCCAAAACUUGGGGCACAUCAUAAUAUGAUGGGAGGAGUCAUUUGCUGACUUUUGAGUGAAAUCCAAUGGCAAAAACUAUGCAAUACACUAACCAUUCCAUUUCAGAACGAACUUCGUACGAACCUGAAUUGUCCAAUUUCGCGGACCAAUUGAUAUCGGAUUGAGUCCAAAACUUGGGGAGCAUCAUAAUACGGUGGGAGGAAUCAUUGGGUGGCUUUUGAUUGAAAUCCAAUCUCUACAACUAUGCAAUACACCCACCGCUCCAUUUCAUAACGAACUUCGUACGAACCUGAAUUGUUCAAUUUUAUGGACCAAUCGGUAUCGGAUUGAGUCCAAAACUUAGGGAUCAUCAUAAUACGGUGGGAGGAGUCAUUUGGUGGAUUUGAGUGAAAUCCAAUCUGUACAACUAUGUAACACACCAACCACUCCAUUUCAUAACGAACUUCGUACGAACAUGAAUUGUCCAAUUUCAUGGACCAAUCGAUAUCGGAUUGAGUCCAAAACUUGGGGAACAUCGUAAUACGGUGGGAGGAGUCAUUCUGGUGCCUUUGAGUGAAAUCCAAUCUCUACAACUGUGCAAUACACCAAGCACUCCAUUUCAUAACGAACUUCAUGCGAACCUGAAUUGUCCGAUUUCAUGGACCAAUCGAUAUUGGAUUGAGUCCAAAACUUGGGGAACAUCAUAAUAUGAUGGGUGGAGUCAUUUGGUGUCUUUUGAGUGAAAUCCUAUGGCUAAAACUAUGCAAUACACCAACCACUCUAUUUCAGAACGAACUUCGUUCGAACCUGAAUUGUCCAAUUUCAUGGACCAAUCGAUAUCGGAAUGAGUCCAAAACUUGGGGAACAUCAUAAUACGAUAGUUGGAGUCAUUUGGUGACUUUUGAGUGAAAUCCAAUCUCUACAACUAUGCAACACACCAACCACUCCAUUUCAUAACGAACUUCGUACGAACCUGAAUUGUCUAAUUUCACGGACCAAUCAAUAUCGGAUAGAGUCCAAAACUUGGGGAACAUCAUAAUACGGUGGGAGGAGUCAUUUGGCGGGUUUUGAGUGAAAUCCAAUCUCUGCAACUAUGCAAUACACCAACCACUCUAUUUCAUAACGAACUUCGUACGAACCUGAAUUGUUCAAUUUCAUGAACAAAUCGAUAUCGGAUUGAGUCCAAAACAUGGGGAACACCAUAAUAUGAUGGGAGGAGUCAUUUGGUGACUUUUGAGUGAAAUCCAAUGGCUAAAACUAUGCAAGACACUAACCACUCCAUUUUAGAAUGAACUUUGUAUGAACCUGAAUUGUCCAAUUUCAUGGACCAAUCGAUAUCGGAUUGAGUCCAAAACUUGGGGGGCAUAAUAAUACGGUGGGACGAGUCAUUUGGUGGGUUUUGAGUGAAAUCCAAUCUCUACAACUGUGCAAUACACCAACCACUCCAUUUCAGAACGAACUUCGUACGAACCUGAAUUGUCCAAUUUCUUGGACCAAUCGAUAUCGGAUUGAGUCCAAAACUUGGGGAACAUCGUAAUACGGUGGGAGGAGUCAUUUGGUGCCUUUUGAGUGAAAUCCAAUCUCUACAACUGUGCAAUAGACCAAGCACUCUAUUUCAUAACGAAAUUCAUGCGAACCUGAAUUGUCCGAUUUCAUGGACAAAACGAUAUUGGAUUGAGUCCAAAACUUGGGGAACAUCAUAAUAUGAUGGGAGGAGUCGUUUGGUGUCUUUUGAGUGAACUCCUAUGGCUAAAACUAUGCAAUACACCAACCACUCUAUUUCAGAACGAACUUCGUACGAACCUGAAUUGUCCAAUUUCUUGGACCAAUCGAUAUCGGAUUGAGUCCAAAACUUGAGGCACAUCAAAAUAUGAUGGGAGGAGUCAUUUGCUGACUUUUGAGUGAAAUCCAAUGGCAAAAACUAUGCAAUACACUAACCACUCCAUUUCAGAACGAACUUGGUAUGAACCUGAAUUGUCCAAUUUCGCAGACCAAUCGAUAUCGGAUUGAGGCCAAAACUUGGGGCACAUCAUAAUACGAUGGUUGGAGUCAUUUGGUCACUUUUGAGUGAAAUCCAAUCUCCACAACUAUGCAAUACACCAACCACCCCAUUUCAUAACGAACUUCGUACGGCCCUGAAUUGUCCAAUUUCAACGACCAAUCAAUAUCGGAUUGAGUCCAAAACUUGGGGAACAUCAUAAUACGGUGGGAGGAGUCAUUUCGCGGGUUUUGAGUGAAAUCCAAUCUCUGCAACUAUGGAAUACAGCAACCACUCCAUUUCAUAACGAACUUCGUACGAACCUGAAUUGUUCAAUUUCAUGAACCAAUCGAUAUCGGAUUGAGUCCAAAACAUGGGGAACACCAUAAUAUGAUGGGAGGAGUCAUUUGGUGACUUUUGAGUGAAAUCCAAUGGCUAAAUCUAUGCAAGACACUAACCACUCCAUUUCAGAACGAACUUUGUAUGAACCUGAAUUGUCCAAUUUCAUGGACUAAUCGAUAUUGGAUUGAGUCCAAAACUUGGGGAGCAUGAUCAUACGGUGGGAGGAGUCAUUUGGUGACUUUUGAGUGAAAUCCAAUCUCUACAACUAUGCAAUACUCCAACCACUCCAUUUCAUAACGAACUUCGUACGAACCCGAAUUGUCCAAUUUCAUUGACCAAUCGAUAUCGGAUUGAGUCCAAAACUUGGGGAGCAUAAUAAUACGGUGGGACGAGUCAUUUGGUGGGUUUUGAGUGAAAUCCAAUCUCUACAACUGUGCAAUACACCAACCACUCCAUUUCGUAACGAACUUCGUCCGAACCUGAAUUGUCCAAUUUCACGGACCAAUCAAUAUUGGAUUGAGUCCAAACCUUGGGGAACAUCAUAAUACGGUGGGUGGAGUCAUUUGGCUGGUUUCGAGUGAAAUCCAAUCUCUGCAACUACGCAAUACACCAACCACUACAUUUCAAAACGAACUUCGGACGAACCUGAAUUGUCCAAUUUCGCGGACCAAUCGAUAUCGGAUUGAGUCCAAAACAUGGAUAACAUCAUAAUAUGAUGGGAGGACUCAUUUGGUAACUUUUGAGUGAAAUCCUAUGUCUAAAACUAUGCAAUACACCAACCACUCUAUUACAGAACGAACUUCGUACGAACCUGAAUUGUCCAAUUUAAUAGACCAAUCGAUAUCGGAUUGAGUCCAAAACUUGGGGAACAUCAUAAUAUGAUGGGAGGUGUCAUUUGGUAGCUUUUGAGUGAAAUUCAAUCUCUACAACUAUGCAAUACACUAACCUCUCCAUUUAAGAACGAACUUCGUACUAGCCUGAAUUGUCCAAUUUCAUGGACCAAUCGAUAUCAGAUUGAGUCCAAAACUUGGGGAACAUCAUAAUACGGUGGGAGGAGUCAUUUGGUGACUUUUGAGUGAACUCCUAUGGCCAAAACUAUGCAAUACACCAACCACUCUAUUUUAGAACGAACUUCGUACAAACCUGAAUUUUCCAAUUUCAUGGACCAAUCGAUAUCGGAUUGAGUCCAAAACUUGGGGAACAUCAGCAUACAGUGGGAGGAGUCAUUUGGUGUCUUUUGAGUGAACUCCUAUGGCUAAAACUUUGCAAUACAUAAACCACACUACUUCAGAACAAACUUCGUACGAACCUGGAUUUUCCAAUUCCAUGUACCAAUCGAUAUCGGAUUCAGUCCAAAACUUGGGGAACAUCAUAAUAUGAUGGGAGGAGUCAUUUGGGGACUUUUGAGUGAAAUCCAAUGGCUAAAACUUUGAAAUACGCAAACCAUUCCAUUUCAGAACUAACUUUGUAAGAACCUGAAUUAUAUAAUUUCAUGGACCAACCGAUAUCGGAUUGAGUCCAAAACUUGGGGAACAUCAUAAUAUGGUAGGAGGAGUCAUUUGGUGGCUUUUGAGUUAAAUCCAAUCUCUACAACUAUGCAAUACACAAACCACUCCAUUUCAGAACGAACUUCGUACGAACCUGAAUUGUCCAAUUUAAUGGACCAAUCGAUAUCGGAUUAAGUACAAAACCUGGGGAACAUCAUAAUACAGUGGGAGUUGUCAUUUGGUGGAUUUUGAGUAAAAUUCAAUCUCUACAACUAUGCAAUACACCAACCACUCCAUUUCAUGAUGAACUUCGUACGAACCCGAAUUGUCCAAUUUCAUGGACCAAUCGAACUAUGAUUGAGUCCAAAACUUGGGGAACAUCAUAAUAUGAUGGGAGGAGUCAUUUGGUGACUUUUGAGUGAAAUUCAAUGGCUAAAACUAUGCAAUACACUAACCACUCCAUUUUAGAGCGAACUUCGUACAAGCCUGAAUUGUCCAAUUUCAUGGACCAAUCGAUAUCGGAUUGACUCCAAAACUUGGGGCACAUCAUAAUAUGAUGGGAGGAGUCAUUUGCUGACUAUUGAGUGAAAUCCAAUGGCUAGAACUAUUCAAUACACUAACCACUCCAUUUCAGAACGAACUUCGUACGAACCUGAAUUGUCCGAUUUCGUGGACCAAUCGAUAUCGGAUUGAGUCCGAAACUUGGGGAACAUCAUAAUAUUAUGAGAGGAGUCAUUCGGUGCAUUUUGAGUGAAAUCCAAUCUCCAAAACUGUGCAAUACACCAACCACUCCAUUUCGUAACGAACUUCGUAUGAACCUGAAUUGGCCAAUUUCAUAGACCAAUCGAUAUCGGACUGAGUCCAAAACUUGGGGCACAUCAUAAUAUGAUGGGAGGAGUCAUUUGGUGCCUUUUGAGUGAAAUCCAAUGGCGAAAAUUAUGCAAUACACCAACCACUCCAUUUCAUAACGAACUUCGUACGAACCUGAAUUGGCCAAUUUCAUGGCCCAAUUGAUAUCGGAUUGUGGCCAAAACUUGGGGAACGUCAUAAUAUGAUGGUUGGAGGCAUUUGGUGACUUUUGAGUGAAAUCCAAUCCCUACAACUAUGCAAUACACCAACCACUCCAUUUCUUGGCGAACUUCGUACGAACCUGAAUUGUCCAAUUUCAUGGACCAAUCGACAUCAGAUUGAACCCAAAAUUUGGGGAACAUCAUAUUAUGAUUGUUGGAGUCAUUUGGUGACUUUUGAGUGGAAUCCAAUGGCUAAAACUGUGCAAUACACUAACCACUCCGUUUCAGAACGAAGUUCGUACAAACCGGAAUUGUCCAAUUUCAUGGACCAAUCGAUAUAGGAUAGAGUCCAAACCGUGGGGAACAUCAUAAUACGGUGGGAGGAGUCAUUUGGUGGGUUUUGGUUGAAAUCCAAUCUCUACAAGUAUGCAAUAUACCAACCACUCCAUUUCAUGACGAACUUCGUACGAACUUCAAUUGUCCAAUUUCAUGGACCCAUCGAUAUCGGAUUGAGUCCCAAACCUGAGGAGCAUAAUAAUAUAAUGGGAGGAGUGAUUUGGUGACUUUUGAGUGAAAUCCAAAGACUAAAACGAUGCAUUACACUAACCACUCUAUUUAAGAGCGAACUUCGUACGAGCCUGGAUUGUCCAAUUUCAUGGACCAAUUGAUAUCGGAUUGACUCCAAAACUUGGGGAACAUCAUAAUACGGUGGGAGGAGUCAUUUGGUGGGUUUUGUGUGAAAUCCAAUCUCUAAAACUAUGCAAUACACCAACCGCUCCAUUUCAUAACGAACUUCGUACGUACCUGAAUUGUCCAAUUUCAUGGACCAAUCGAUAUCGGAUUGAGUCCAAAACUUGUGGAACAUCAUAAUAUGAUGCGAGGAGUCAUUUGGUGGCUUUUGAGUGAAAUCCAAUGGCUAAAACGAUGCAAUACACCAACCACUCCAUUUCAGAACGAACUUCGUACGAAGUUGAAAUUGUUCAAUUUCGUGGACCAAUCGAUAUCGGAUUUAGUCCAAAACUUGGGGAACGUCCUAAUACGGUGGGAGGAUUCAUUUGGUGUCUUUUGAGUGAAAUUCAAUGGCUAAAACUAUGCAAUACACCAACCACUCCAUUUCAUAAUGAACUUCGUACGAACCUGAAUUGUCCAAUUUGAUGGACCAAUUGAUAUCGGAUUGAGUCCAAUCCUUAGGGAACACCAUAAUACAGUGGGAGGAGUCAUUUGGUAUGUUUUGACUGAAAUCCAAUGGUUAAAACUAUUCAAUACACCAACCACUCCAUUUCAGAACUAACUUCGUACGAACCUGAAUUGUCCAAUUUCAUGGACCAACUGAUAUCGGAUUGAGUCCAAAACUUGGAGACAUCAUAAUACGGUUGGAGGAGUCAUUUGGUGGGUUUUGAGUGAAAUUCAAUCUCUACAACUAUGCAAUACACCAACCACUCCAUUUCAUAACGAACUUCGUAUGAACCUGAAUUGUCCAAUUUUCACGGACGAAUCGAUAUAGGAUUGAGUCCAAAAAUUGGGGAACAACAUAAUAUGAUGGUUGGAGUCAUUUGGUGACUUUUGAGUGAAAUCCAAGGGCUAAAACUAUGCACUACACUAACCACUCCAUUUGAGAACGAACUUUGAACGAACCUGAAUUGUCCAAUUUCAUGGACCAAUCGAUAUCGGAUAGAGUCCAAACCCUAGGGAACAUCAUAAUACGAUGGGAGGAGUCAUUUGGUUGCUUUUGAUUGAAAUCCAAACUCUACAACUAUGCAAUACACCAACGACUCUAUUUCAUGACGAACUUCGUACGAACCUCAAUUGUCCAAUUUCAUGGACCAAUCGAUAUCGGAUUGAGUCCAAAACUUGGGGAACAUCAGAAUACGGUGGGAGGAGUCAUUUGGUGGCUUUUGCGUGAAUUCCAAUGGGAAAAACUAUGCAAUACACCAACCACUCCAUUUUAGAACGAACUUCGUACGAACCUGUAUUGUCCAAUUUCAGGGACCAAUCGAUAUCGGAUUGAGUCCAAAACUCGGGGAACAUCAUAAUACGGUGGGAGGAGUCAUUUGGUGGCUUUUGAGUGAAAUCCAAUCACUACAACAAUGCAAUACCCCAAGUACUCCAUUUCAUAACGAACUUCGUACAAACCUGAAUUGUGCAAUUUCAUGGAUCAAUCGAUAUCGGUUUGAGUCCAAAACAAGGGGAACAUCAUAAUAUGACGGGAGGAGUCAUUUGGUGUCUUUUGAGUGAACUCCUAUGGCUAAAACUAUGCAAUACACCAACCACUCCAUUUCAGAAUGAACUUCGUACGAACUUGAAUUGUCCAAUUUCAUGGACCAAUCGAUAUCGGAUAGAGUCCAAACCGUGGGGAACAUCAUAAUACGGUGGGAGGAGUCAUUUGGUGGGUUUUGAUUGAAAUCCAAUCUCUACAACUAUGCAAUACACCAACCACACCAUUUCAUGACAAACUUCGUACGAACCUGAAUUGUCCAAUUUCAUAGACCAAUCGAUAUUGGAUUGAGUCCAAAACUUGGGGAACAUCAUAAUAUGAUGGGAGGAGUCAUUUUGUGACUUUUGAGUGAAAUCCAAUGGCUAAAACGAUGCAAUAUACUAACCACUCCAUUUUAGAGCGAACUUCGUACGAGCCUGAAUUGUCCAAUUUCAUGGACCAAUCGAUAUCGGAUUGACUCCAAAACUUGGGGAACAUCAUAAUAUGAUGGGUGGAUUCAUUUGAUGACUUUUGAGUGAAAUCCAGUGGCUAAAACUUUGAAAUGCAAAAACCAACCCAUUUCAGAACGAACUUCGAAUGAACAUGAAUUGUCCAAUAUCAUGGACCAAUCGAUAUCGGAUUGAGUACAAAACUUGGGGAACAUCAUACUACGGUGGGAGUUGUCAUUUGGUGGAUUUUGAGUGAAAUCCAAUCUCUACAACUAUGCAAUACACCAACCACUCCAUUUCAUGACGAACUUCGUACGAACUUGAAUUGUCCAAUUUCGUGGACCAAUCGAUAUCGGAUUGAAUCCAAAACUUGGGGAUCGUUCAUCAUACGGUGGGAGGAGUCUUUUGGUGGGUUUUGAGUGAAAUCAAAUAUCUAGAACUAUGCAAUACACCAACCACUCUAUUUCAUAACGAACUUCUUACGAACCUGAAUUGUCCAAUUUCAUGGACCAAUCGAUAUCGGAUUGAGUCCAAAUCUUGGGGAACAUCAUAAUACGGUGGGAGGAGUCAUUUGGUGUCUUUUCAGUGAAAUCCAACGGCUAAAACUAUUCAAUACACCAACCACUCCAUUUCAGAACGAACUUCAUACGAACCUAAAUUGUCCAAUUUCGUGGACCAAUCGAUAUCGGAUUGACUCCAAAACUUGGGGAACGUCCUAAUACAGUGGGAGGCAUCAUUUGGUGUCUUCUGAGUGAAAUCGAAUGGCUAAAAAUAUGCAAUACAGCAGCCACUCUAUUUCAGAACGAACUUCGUACGAAUUUGAAUUGUCCAAUUUCAUGGACCAAUCGAUAUCGGAUUGAGUGCAAAACGUGGGGAGCAUCAUACUAUGGUGGGUGGAGUCAUUUGGUGGCUUUUGAGUGAAAUCCAAUGGGAAAAAAGUAUGCAAUACACCAACCACUCCAUUGCAUAACGAACUUCGUACGAACCUGUAUUGUCCAAUUUCAUGGACCUAUCGAUAUCGGAUUUAGUCCAAAACUUGGGGAUGAUCAUAAUAUGGUGGGAGGAGUCAUUUCGUGGGUUUUGAGUGAAAUCCAAUCUCUACAACUAUGCAAUACACCAACCACCCUAUUUCGUAAUGAACUUCAUGCGAACCUGAAUUGUCCAAUUUCAUGGACCAAUCGAUAUCGGAUUGAGUCCAAAACUUGGGGAACAUCAUAAUAUGAUGGCAGGAGUCAUUUGGUGACUUUUGAGUGAAAUCCAAUGGCUAAAACUAUGCAAUACACUAACCACUCCAUUUCAUAACGAACUUCCUACGAACCUGAAUUGUGCAAUUUCAUGGACCAAUCGAUAUCGGAUAGAUUCCAAAAGUUAAGGAACAUCAUAAGACAUUGGGAGGAGUCAUUUGGUGCCUUUUGACUAAAAUCCAAUGGCAAAAACUAUGCAAUACACCAACCACUUCAUUUCGUAACGAACUUCAUACGAACCUGAAUUGCCCAAUUUCGUGGACCAAUCGAUAUCGGAUUGACUCCAAAACUUGGGGAACGUCCUAAUACAGUGGGAGGCGUCAUUUGGUGUCUUUUGAGUGAAAUCCAAUGGCUAAAACUAUGCAAUACAGCAGCCACUCCAUUUCAGAAUAAACUUCGUACGAACUUGAAUUGUCCAAUUUCAAGGACCAAUCGAUAUCGGAUUGAGUCCAAAACGUGGGGAGCAUCAUACUAUGAUGGGUGGAGUCAUUUGGUGGCUUUUGAGUGAAAUUCAAUGGGAAAAAAGUAUGCAAUACACCAACCACUCCAUUGCAUGACGAACUUCGUACGAACCUGUAUUGUCCAAUUUCAUGGACCAAUCGAUAUCGGAUUUAGUCCAAAACUUGGGGAUCAUCAUAAUAAGGUGGGAGGAGUCAUUUCGUUGGUUUUGAGUGAAAUCCAAUCUCUACAACUAUGCAAUACACCAACCACCCUAUUUCGUAAUGAACUUCGUGCGAACCUGAAUUGUCUAAUUUCAUGGACCAAUCGAUAUCGGAUUGAGUCCAAAACUUGGGGAACAUCAUAAUACAAUGGGAGAAGUCAUUUGGUGACUUUUGAGUGAAAUCCAAUGGCUAAAAUUGUGCAAUACACUAACCACUCCAUUUCAGAACGAAUUUCCUACGAACCUGAAUUGUCCAAUUUCAUGGACCAAUCGAUAUCGGAUUGAGUCCAAAACUUAAGGAACAUCAUAAGACGGUGAGAGGAGUCAUUUGGUGGGUGUUGAGUGAAAUCCAAUCUCUACAACUAUGCAAUACACCAACCACUCCAUUUCAUAACGAACUUCGUACGAACCUGAAUUGUCCAAUUUGUUGGACCAAUCUAUAUCGGAUUAAGCCCAAAACUUGGGGAUCAUCAUCAUACGGUGGGAGGAGUCAUUUGGUGGAUUUUGAGUGAAAUCCAAUAUCUAGAACUAUGCAAUACACCAACCACUCCAUUUCAUAAUGAACUUCGUACAAACCUGAAUUGUCCAAUUUCAUGGACCAAUCGAUAUCGGAUUGAGUCCAAAACUUGGGGAACGUCCUAAUACAGUGGGAGGAGUCAUUUGGUGUCUUUUGAGUGAAAUCCUACGGCUAAAACUAUGCAACAAACCAACCACUUCAUUGCAGAACGAACUUCGUACGAACCUAAAUUGUCCAAUUUCGUGGACCAAUCGAUAUCGGAUUGAGUCCAAAACUUGGGGAACGUCAUAAUAUGAUGGGAGAAGUCAUUUGUUGACUUUUGAGUGAAAUCCAAUGGCUAAAACUAUGCAAUACACUAACCACUCCAUUUCAGAACGAACUUCGUACUUACUUGAAUUGUCCAAUUUCAAGGACCAAUCGAUAUCGGAUUGAGUACGAAAGUUGGGGAACAUCAAAAUACGGUGGGAGGAGUCAUUUGGCGGGUUUUGCGUGAAAUCCAAUCUCUACAACUAGUAAUACUCCAACCACUCCAAUUCAUAAUGAACUUCUUACGAACCUGAAUUGUCCAAUUUCAUGGACCAAUCGAUAUCAGAUUGAGUCCAAAGCUUGGGGAACAUCAUAAUACGGUGGGAGGAGUCAUUUGGUGUCUUUUGACUGAAAUCCAAUGGCUAAAACUAUGCAAUACACCAACCACUCCAUUUCAGAACGAACUUCGUACGAACCUGAAUUGUCCACUUUUAAGGACCAAUCGAUAUCGGAUUGAGUCCAAAACUUUGGGAACAUCAUAAUACUGUGGGAGGAUUCAUUUGGUUCGUUUUGAGUGAAAUCCAAGCUCUACAACUAUGCAAUACACCAACAACUCCAUUUCAGAACGAACUUCGUACCAACCUAAAUUGUCCAAUUCCAUGGACCAAUCGAUAUCAGAUUGAGUCCAAAACUUAGGGAACAUCAUAAUACGGUGGGAGGAGUCAUUUGGUGGGUUUUGAGUGAAAUCCAAUCUCUACAACUAUGCAACACACCAACCACUCCAUUGCAUAACGAACUUCGUACGAACCAGAAUUGUCCAAUUUCAUGGACCAAUCCAUAUCGGAUUGAGUCCAAAACUUGGGGAACAUAAUAAUAUGAUGGGAGGAGUCAUGUGGUGUCCUUUGACUGAAAUCCAAUGGCUAAAACUAUGCAAUACACCAACCACUCUAUUUCAGAACGAACUUCGUACGAACCUGAAUUGUCCAAUUUCAAGGACCAAUCGAUAUCGGAGUGAGUGUAAAACUUAGGGAACAUCGUAAAAUGGUGGGAGGAGUCGUUUGGUGGGUUUUGAGUGAAACAAAAUCUCUACAACCAUGCAAUACACCAACCACCCUAUUGACCAAUCGAUAUUGGAUUGUGUCCAAAACUUGGGGAACAUCAUAAUAUGGUGGGAGGAGUCAUUUGGUGACUUUUGAGUGAAAUCUAACGGCUAAAACUAUGCAAUACACGAACGACUCCAUUUCAGAACGAACUUCGUAUGAAUUUGAAUUGUCCAAUUUUAAGGACCAAUCGAUAUCAGAUUAAUUCCAAAACUGCGGGACAUCAUAAUAUAUGGUGGGAGAAGUCAUUUGGUGACUUUUGAGUGAAAUCCAAUGGCUAAAACUACGCAAUACACCGACCAAUCCAUUUCGUAACGAACUUCAUACGAACCUGGAUUCACCAAUUUCAUGGAACAAUCGACAUCGAAUUGAGUCUAGAACUUGGGGAACGUCCUAACACGGCGGGAGGAGUCAUUUGGUGUCUUUUGAGUGAAAUUCAAUGGCUAAAACUAUGCAAUACACCAACCACUCCAUUUCAUAAUGAACUUCGUACGAACCUGAAUUGUCCAAUUUGAUGGACCAAUCGAUAUCGGAUUGAGUCCAGAAGUUGGGGAACGUCCUAAUACGGUGGGAGGAGUCAUUUGGUGUCUUUUGAGGGAAAUCCAAUUUCUAAAACUGUGCAAUACACCAACCACUCCAUUUCAUAAUGAACUUCGUACGAACCUGAAUUGUCCAAUUUGAUGGACCAAUCGAUAUCGAAUUAAGUCCAAACCUUGGGGAACAUCAUAAUACAGUGGGAGGAGUCAUUUGGUAUCUUUUGACUGAAAUCCAAUGGCUAAAACUGUGCAAUACACCAACCAAUCCAUUUCAGAAUGAACUUCUUACGAACCUGAACUAUCCAAUUUCAUGGACCAAUCGAUAACGGAUUGAGUCCAAAACUUGGGGAACAUCAUAAUACGGUGGGAGGAGUCAUUUGGUUGGGUUUGAGUGAAAUCCAAUCUCUAAAACUAUGCAAUACACCAACCACUCCAUUUCAGAACGAACUUCGUACGAACUUGAAUUGUCCAAUUUCAUGGACCAAUCGAUAUCGGAUUGAGUCCAAAACGUGGGGAGCAUCAUACUAUGGUGGGUGGAGUCAUUUGGUGGCUUUUGAGUGAAAUCCAAUGGGAAAAAAGUAUGCAAUACACCAACCACUCCAUUGCAUAACGAACUUCGUACUGUCCAAUUUGAUGGACCAAUCGAUAUCGGAUUUAGUCCAAAACUUGGGGAUCAUCAUAAUACGGUGGGAGGAGUCAUUUGGUGACUUUUGAGUGAAAUCCACUGGCUAAAACUAUGCAAUACACCAACCACCCUAUUUUGAAACGAACUUCGUGCGAACCUGAAUUGUCCAAUUUCAUGGACCAAUCGAUAUCGGAUUGAGUCCAAAAGUUGGGGAACAUCAUAAUACGAUGGGAGGAGUCAUUUGGUGACUUUUGAGUGAAAUCCAAUGGCUAAAGCUAUGCAAUACACUAACCACUCCAUUUCAUAACGAACUUCCUACGAACUUGAAUUGUGCAAUUUCAUGGACCAAUCGAUAUCGGAUAGAUUCCAAAAGUUAAGGAACAUCAUAAGACAGUGGGAGGAGUCAUUUGGUGGGUUUUGAGUGAAAUCCAAUGACAGGACCCGAAUUAAAUUCCGCUUUGGAAUUUGAGUCGAACCCUGUGCGUGUCCGACACUUGGCAAAUGUCGAGCACGAAAGACCUAUUUGCCCUUUUUCUUAAAAUUUUGACUUGGACUUCGAAAAAUUUCGGCAGAGUCUCCCCUAAAUUUCGUUCAAUCCAAAACUUACACUUGUCAUAACGAGCAUAAUCAUCCAAACAACCAACAGCCAGCACUUCAAUAAACAUGCUAAAAGUUCCAUUCUCACUCUAGGGCAAUAUAUCAGAGCAAUUUUGAUAGCUUACGGAUUACUUAAUUGGUUUGCAUACCAACAUUUUUGAACUAGAAGGCGCGGAAGUCACGAUGGCCUGGUGGUGGGUGUCUUGUGCACGCUACAGCCUGGGGCCGCAAAACAGUUGAAAGUGUGAGUGGACCAAAAAUAAAGGUUCAUAAAAUAUCUAAGAAUAUACUAACCCCCGAUGUAAAAAUAAGGAAAUAAAUUCAAACACGUAUUCUGCAUUUAAAGCAUACUAAACUCAAGGCAUUAUAUGUAAAUCAUAUUCGAACUCGAUACUUCUCGCAUAAAAACAAUGAAAUCAACUACAGUUGAGUAAAACUGAAUAUCUAAACUAUCUUGGAAACAUAUGAAAGUCAACGCAGUUACAUAUUUAUAGAAAUAUAUGCAAUCGCUUUCAAGAGCAAUAAAACUUGCAUGAAAGCAUUGAAAUCCAAUUUGGAUAAAAGUGCUGAAAUCAAACCUGCAAUAAAGCAAUGUACUCAAAACUUGAAUUAAAGCACUGCAAUUAAUCAAAACUACCACUCGGAUGUACCCCUGUAAUUCCGUCAAUUUCCCUGGCAGGUCUCGGCGACACACAGUCUAUCCGAGCAGCAAAUCCUGGCAGGAUACAGGGGACUAUAGUUAGCCUGAUCCGCUGGCAGGUCUCGGUGACACAAAGUCAACUCGAGCUGCUCUGGCAGGAUUCAGGGGACCGUAGUCAGCCUGAUUCGCAAUCCUGGCAGGUCUCGGGGACACGAAGUCAGCCGAGCCACAAAUCCUGGCAGGUCUCGGGACACCAAGUCUGCCGAGCCGCAAAUCUUGGCAGGUCUCGGGACACCAAGUCUGCCGAGCCACAAAUCCUGGCACUCACGGUCCGAGCGUCCCCGAAACUCGUGAGGCAAUGUCAAGUGCACUGACAGAGCUGUAAAUAGACUGGAUGUCCGUAGACAUCGGUCCAUCUGAGGGUAAUCACCAUAACUGGGUACACACGGUGGUUAAAAAUAAAUAUUUUAGAAAAAUCUGAUAAAUCACUGUAUUUGGCAAGUCUGAAACUAAGCUGCUAUUUUCUCUGAUAUAAAUCUCAACUCUGCUUUCUGUCACUUUCUACCAUGUUCAACUAAGCAGCAUAGAAAUAAAGAUAUUUGACGGCACAAAUCAUGCUCGGAAAACAUUUGGUAAAACUUAUUCAAAAUCAAAUAAUGAAAUUUACUCAUAUAAACUCAUUUAUAAAAACUUAUUUAUAUAAAAUCAAUAUAAAAUCAUUUAUGUAAACUCAUUUAUAUAAAGCAUUUAUAUAACUCAUUUAUAUAAAAUCUUUUAUGAAAGAAAGUCCACUCACUCCUGGUCCGAGCUCGCUAGACCUCCUGACGGUCUCUCUUGCGGGCCUGUCUGGUCCCGGGUGCCUGGGUAAACCAUCAUGCAUGUUUGAUUAAUAAAACUGCUCGGUAACUUUUUAAGUAAAACUCUGACCCCCGACUUCUAGAAGUGCGUGCACUAACUUUAAAGUCAUUUUCCUGCCCACUUAGGUAUUUCAGGUAUUUACAAUCGUCUGAAAAGACUCAAGACUUCAUUAAGCGAUAAACUUCCACCUUGGUCGAGGCGGAACCCCGUGGGGUCCACGACCUCCAAUGACCAAUCUGAGAGUUCCUUUAAGUUCCUCACGUUUAAGGAACCAUAUCCUGCAAGUUUGUCUGAAACUGACGAUCGGAUUGAGAACGAUCGUGAAAUCAUAAAAUUUCCAAACCCUAGCCUCAGGGUUCGCGAUUUCGGAGUAUCCGGGACUCCGAUUCACGAUCCGUCGAAUCCUACACGAUUCUGAAAUUAUAUGGAACAACAUAUCCGAAAUUGAGCGCGAUCCAACGGUUCGGCAAUAUUGAACCCGAAAAUCGCACAAUAUGGAAAAUCUAUUCGGGGCUCAAACGGAAUCCAAAUUGAGAUCCGCGAAAUCCUAUGCGCUCGUGAUAACAUAAGGAUCGCAACAAGACACAGUGCCACUGCACUACCCUCACCCACGCGCCCCAGCACGCGCCGGCAGCGAUGGGUGUCUAAAGCGAUUUCGGCUCGCCGGAAAAACUUCAAAUCACGGCUCCAAACUCCUACCCUAGGUAAAACACCAUAUUUGGAGCCACUUUUGUUCUUGGACCUACCCUAAAAAGUGGCCGGAAGUGGCCGAACACACCAACCACUCCAUUAAGAACGAACUUCGUACGAACCUGAAUUGUCCAAUUUCAUGGACCAAUCGAUAUCCGAUUGAGUCCAAACCUUGGGGAAUGUCAUAAUACAGUGGGAGGAGUCAUUUGGUGUCUUUUGACUGAAAUCCAAUGGCUAAAACUAUGCAAUACACCAACCACUCCAUUUCAUAACGAACUUCGUACGAACCUGAAUUGUCCAAUUUCAUGGACCAAUCGAUAUCGGAUUGAGUCCAAACCUUGGGGAAUGUCAUAAUACGGUGGGCGGAGUCAUUUGGUGUCUUUUGACUGAAAUCCAGUGGCUAAAACUAUGCAAUAAACCAACCACUCCAUUUCAGAAAGAACUUCGUACGAACCUGAACUGUCCAAUUUCAUGGACCAAUCGAUAUCGAACUAAGUCCAAAACUUGGGAAACAUCAUAAUACGGUGGGAGGAGUCAUUUGGUGGGUUUUGAGUGAAAUCCAAUCAGUAAAACUAUGCAAUACACCAACCGCUCCAUUUCAGAAAGAACUUCGUACGAACCUGAAUUGUCCAAUUUCAUGGACCAAUCGAUAUCGGAUUGAGUCAAAAACUUGGGAAACAACAUAAUUCGAUGGGAGGAGUCAUUUGGGGUCUUUUGACUGAAAUCCAAUGGCUAAAACUAUGCAAUACACCAACCACUCCAUUUCAUAACGAACUUCGGACGAACCUGAAUUGUCCAAUUUCAUGGACCAAUUGAUAUCGGAUUGACUCCAAAACCUGGCGAACGUCCUAAUACGGUGGGAGGAGUCAUUUGGGGUCUUUUGACUGAAAUCCAAUGGCUAAAACUAUGCAAUACACCAACCACUCCAUUUCAUAACGAACUUCGUACGAACCUGAAUUGUCCAAUUUCAUGGACCAAUCGAUAUCGGAUUGUGUCCGAAACUUAGGGAACAUCAUAAUAUGAUGGGAGGAGUCAUUUGGUUCCUUUUGAGUGAAAUACAGUUGCUAAAACUAUGCAAUACACUAACCACUCAAUUUCAUGGACCAAUCGAUAUCGGAUUGUCCAAUUUCAUGCACCAAUCGAUAUCGGAUUGACUCCAAAACUUUGGGAACGUCCUAAUACGGUUGGAGGCGUCAUUUGGUGUCUUUUGAGCGAAAUCCAAUGGCUAAAACUAUGCAAUACAGCAACCACUCCAUUUCAAAACAAACAUCGUUCGAACUUGAAUUGUCCAAUUUCAUGGACCAAUCGAUAUCGGAUUGAGUCCAAAACGUGGGGAGCAUCCUACUAUGGUGGGUGGAGUCAUUUGGUGGCUUUUGAGUGAAAUCCAAUGGGAAAAAAGUAUGUAAUACACCAACCACUCCAUUUGAUAACGAACUUCGUACGAACCUGUGCUGUCCAAUUUGUUGGAGCAAUCGAUAUCGGAUUUAGUCCAAAACUUGGGGAUCAUCAUAAUACGGUGGGAUGAGUCAUUUCGUGAGUUUUGAGUGAAUUCCAAUCUCUCCAACUAUGCAAUACACCAACCACCCUAUUUCAUAACGAACUUCGUGCGAACCUGAAUUGUCCAAUUUCAUGGACCAAUCGAUAUCGGAUUGAGUCCAAAACUUGGGGAACAUCAUAAUACGAUGGGAGGAGUCAUUUGGUGACUUUUGAGUGAAAUCCAAUGGCAAAAACUAUGCAGUACACCAACCACUCUAUUUCAGAACGAACUUCGUACGAACCUGAAUUGUCCAAUUUCAUGGACCAAUCAAUAUCGGAUUGAGUCCAAAACUUGGGGAACAUCAUAAUACGAUGGCAGGAGUCAUUUGAUCACUUUUGAGUGAAAUCCAAUGGCUAAAACUAUGCAAUACACUAAACACGCCAUUUCAGAACGAACUUCCUACGAACCUGAAGUGUCCAAUUUCAUGGACCAAUCGAUAUCGGAUUGAGUCCAAAACUUGGGGAAUAUCAGAAUACGGUGGGAGGAGUCAUUUGGAGGGUUUUGAGUGAAAUCCAAUCUCUACAACGAUGCAAUACACCAACCACUCCAUUUCAUGACGAACUACGUACGAACCUGAAUUGUCCAAUUUCACGGACCAAUCGAUAUCGGAUUGAGUCCAAAAAUUAGGGAACAACAUAAUAUGAUGGUUGGAGUCAUUUGGUGACUUUUGGGUGAAAUCCAAUGGCUAAAACUAUGCAAUACACUAAACACUUCAUUUCAGAACGAACUUCGUACGAACCUGAAUUGUCCAAUUUCAUGGACCAAUCGAUAUCGGAUAGAAACCAAACCCUGGGGAACAUGAUAAUACGGUGGGAGGAGUCAAUUGGUGGGUUUUGAUUGAAAUCCAAUCUCUACAACUAUGCAAUACACCAACCACUCCAUUUGAGGGCGAACUUCGUACGAAGCUGAAUUGUCCAAUUUCAUGAACCAAUCGAUAUCGGAUUGAGUCCAAAACUUGGGGAACAUCAUACUACAGUGGGAGGAAUCACUUGGUGGGUUUUGAGUGAAAUCCAAUCUCUAAAACUAUGCAAUACACCAACCACUCCAUUUCGGAAAGAACUUCGUUGGAACUUGAAUUGUCCAAUUUCAUGGACCAAUCGAUGUCGGAUUGAGUUCAAAACUUGGGGAACAAGAUAAUACGGUGGGAGGAGUCAUUUGGUGUCUUUUGACUGAAAUCCAAUCUCUACAACUAUGCAAGACACCAACCACUCCAUUUCAUAACGAACUUCGUACGAACCUGAAUUGUCCAAUUUCAUCGACCAAACGAUAUCGGAUUCACCUCUUCGAUUGACAGGUGCGUAUAUUUCGAGGACGAAAUUUGUAUAAGGGGGGUAGGUUGUAAUGACCCAAACCUAAAAUUCAUAUUUAAUGAGUAAUUUAUUAUGCGGAAAGACAAUUUUGCCGUUUGACUAAAUUAUGAACUCAAAGUUGACUUUUUGACCGAAAAGGAAUUUGACAAUUCCACAUGCACCGUUGCGUAGAGCACGACGACACGAGUUCAUAGACACGAAGUGAGCUCAAAUCGGAGUUUUAACAAAGAAAAUACGAUUAAAAUAUCACCAGGGGCAAAAUGAUAAAUUGGAAAAUCAGAAUUUUUAUAUAACCUCACCUCUCUCUCUCUCUUUCUCUCUCCCCGAGCCCUCCUCCCUCUCUGUUUUCUUUCUCUCCCUCCCGUCGCCCUCCACUUGUUAGAGCCGCCACCACCGGCCAUUCCAAGCAGCAAGACCGGAGCCAAAACGACCGGCGUCGCGCCGCCACCACACCCAGCCCAGCCCGUUGCCAGCCGCUGCCGUCAGCCGCCGGAAACGGUGAAAAAACGAGUCGGUUUUGUCAAAUCUUCCAACCGCUCGUUCUCCUUCAAUUCUCUUCCAAAUUUGUCGAGUAAGGUAUGGUUUUCUAGCUAUUUUUCAUGCUCUAGCUGAUGGUUGGGUAGGUUUGCAUCGAUUUUGACCGUAGCUAGCUCAGUUUGUAAAUUGAAAUUCGGGCGACUUUCGGCCUCCGUGUUUGGCCACUUCCGGUCAGUUUUUGGGGUAGUUCCAAGAACAAAAGUGACUCCAAAUGGGGUGUUUUACCUAGGAUAGGAGUUUGGAGUCCUGGUUCCGAGAUUUUUCGACCACCCGAAAUCGCUUAAGACACCCAAAUCUGCCCGCGCGUGCUGGGGCGCGUGGGCGAGGGUGGUGAAGUAAUUUUGUACAGUUUUGUGACCCUCGUGUCGUCACGAGCGCGUAGGAUUUCGCGGAUCUCGAUUCGGAGUUCGUUUGAGCCCCGAACGGAUUUUUCAUAUCGCGUGAUCCUUGGGUGCAGUGUCGUCAAAUCGUUGGAUCACACUGAAUUUUGGAUAUGUCAGUCUACAUGAUUUCAGGAUCGUGUAGGAGUCGACGGAUUGCGAAUCGGAGUCCCGGAUACUCCGAAAUCGCGAACCCUAGGGCUAGGGUUUAGAACUUAUGCGAUUACACGAUCGUGAUUAAUCCGACCGUCCGAUUGACACCAAUACCCUCGGGACAUGUGUCCUAAAUAUAUUGGACCUUCUAGCGGCAUCCGGAUCAUAUUGUACCCGUGGGGUUCCGGAUUGACUUUUUGGGCUUUAGCGCUUUUGAGUCCCAAGAUACCGCUAAACGAUUCCACGUGGAAGGAAAGCUGUUAUGGGCAUAGGGAUCACUUUAAAUUGACGCACGUCCUUUUAGGAGCCGGGGGUAGGGUUUUUAAUUUAAUACUAUAUUGUAUUAAUAGAAUAUUAUGGUCAUUGAAUCAGGCACCCGGGCACCAGUUGACCCGCAGGAGGGACCUUCAAGAGGUCCAGCGAGUUCGGACUAUCAGUGAGUGGACUCUUUGUUUUCAUAAAUGAAUUUAAGCAGUUCAGUUUCAGUUAUCAGCUGUUUUAUUCUGUUAAAUAUUUUAUGUUGCAUGCUGCCGAGUGACAUUUCCUUUAAAGAAUAUAGGAACAGAUAUUCUUAUUUAUUAUCAGAUAAAUGGCAGCAGAAUUUUAAAGGUUACAGAAAGUUAAUUAUUCAACAGAUUUCCUUCAGAAACUUUAUAUUUUCUUAAAUCACUUUGUACCCAGUUAUUAAAUGUUGCCUUCGAUUUAUAUUUGUUGCCUUCGGUUUAGUCAGCAUGCUUGACAGUUGCCCCACGAGAUCCUUGGUACUCGAACUCGUGUGGAGCAAGUAAUGCGGAUAAAGGUGGACUACGGUCCCCUGAAUCCUGCGAGUUGCGGCUCGGACUGACUUCGUGUCACUGAGACAUGCGAGUAUGUGUCACCCAUGGUGAUGCAAGGAAUUGACGGAUAUAAGGAUUUGACGGAAAUAGGGGUACACCUAAGUGAUAGUUUUCAACUGUUUUCAAAUGUAGAGUUAUAUACAUGCAUUGAUUUCAGAAAUAAAGAAAAUAAGCUAGUUUGUAUAACUGUUUUUACAGUGGGGUUAGUAUGUUCAUAUAGUAUUUUCUAAACUUUGUUUUUGGGUCCACUCACCCUUCUUGUUGUUUUGCGCCCCCAGGCAGUAGACGUGCACAGGAAUCCACCACCGGGCCACUUCCCAUCUUCCGUGCCUUUCUUUGAUGUAGGAUUUGUAUUUUGUACAAAGAUUCACUCUUUUGUAAAUUCUUAGAAGUCGCUCUGAUAUUUUGCCCUAGACUGAGUUUUGAUCUCUUGGAAUGUAUAUAUACAUAUGCUGGCAGUUGGUUGUAUAUAUGUAUACUUGUUUGGCAGGUGUGAAUGUUUUGGUAUUGAGCCAGUUACAAGGGAAACUCUGCCGGUUUUUCGGUAGAAGUCAACCUUGUUAUUUUAUCGUGUUUUGUAUAGAAGGGCAAAUAGGUCUUUUGUGCACGACAUUUGCCAGGUGUCGGACAUGCACAGGGUCUGACUCGGAUUCCAAAGCGGAAUUUGGAUCGGGUCCUGUGAAAUCGUAUUCGGAUUGAGUCCAAAACUUGUGGAACAAGAUAAUAUGGUGGGAGGAGUCAUUUGGUGACUUUUGAGUGAAAUCCAAAGGCUAAAACUAUGCAAUACACUAACCACUCAUUUCAUAACGAACUUCGUACGAACCUGAAUUGUCCAAUUUCAUGGACCAAUCGAUAUCGGAUUGAGUCCAAAACUUGGGGAACAUCAUAAUACAAUGGGUGGAGUCAUUUGGCAGGUUCUGAGUGAAAUCCAACCUCUACAACUAUGCAAUACACCAACCACUCCAUUUCAUAACGAACUUCGUAUGAACCUGAAUUGUCCAAUUUCAUGGACCCAUCGAAAUCUGAUUGAGUCCAAAACUUGUGGAACAAGAUAAUAUGACGGGAGGAGUCAUUUGGUGACUUUUGAGUGAAAUCCAAUGGCUAAAACUAUGCAAUACACUAACCACUCCAUUUCAUAACGAAUUUUGUACGAACCUGAACUGUCCAAUUUCAUGGACCAAUCGAUAUCGGAUUGAGUCCACAACUUGGGGAAUAUCAUAACACUGUGGGAGGAGUCAUUUGGUGGCUUUUGAGAGAAAUCCAAUCUCUACAACUAUGCAAUACACAAACCACUCCAUUUCAUAACGAACUUCGUACGAACCUGAAUUGUCCAAUUUUAUGGACCAAUCGACAUUGGAUUGAGUCCAAAAUAUGGGGAACAUCAUAAUAUGAUGGGAGGAGUCAUUUGGUGGCUUUUGACUGAAAUCCAAUGGCUAAAACUGUGCAAUACUCCAACCACUCCAUUUCAUAACGAACUUCGUACGAACCAGAAUUGUCCAAUUUCAUGGACCAAUCGAUAUCGGAUUGAGUCCAAAACCUGUGGAACAAGAUAAUAUGGUGGGAGGAGUCAUUUGGUGACUUUUGAGUGAAAUCCAAUGGCUAAAACUAUGCAAUACACUAACCACUCAUUUCAUAACGAACUUCAUACGAACCUGAAUUGUCCAAUUUCAUGGACCAAUCGAUAUCGGAUUGAGUCCAAAACUUGGGGAACAUCAUAAUACAAUGGGUGGAGUCAUUUGGCAGGUUUUGAGUGAAAUCCAACCUCUACAACUAUGCAAUACACCAACCACUCCAUUUCAUAACGAACUUCAUACGAACCUGAAUUGUCCAAUUUCAUGGACCCAUCGAUAUCUGAUCGAGUCCAAAACUUGUGGAACAAGAUAAUAUGAUGGGAGGAGUCAUUUGGUGAGUUUUGAGUGAAAUCCAAUGGCUAAAACUAUGCAAUACACUAACCACUCCAUUUCAUAACGAACUUCGUACGAACCUGAACUGUCCAAUUUCAUGGACCAAUCGAUAUCGGAUUGAGUCCAAAACUUGGGGAACAUCAUAAUAUGAUGGGAGGUGUCAUUUUGUGACUUUUGAGUGAAAUCCAACUGCUAAAACUAUGCAAUACACCAACCACUCCAUUUCGGAACGAACUUCGUACGAACCUGAAUUGUCCAAUUUCAUGGACCAAUCGAUAUCGGAUUGAGUCCAAAACUUGGGGAACAUCAUAAUACGGUGGGGAGGAGUCAUUUCGUGACUUUUGAGUGAAAUCCAAUGGCUAAAACUAUGCUAUACACAAACACCCCUUUCUAACGAACUUCGUAGAACCUAAAUUGUCCAUUUAUGGACCAAUCAUAUCGGAUUGAGUCCAAAACUUGGGGAACAUCAUCACAUGAUGGGAGGAGUCAGUUGGUGACUUUGGAGUGAAAUCCAAUGGCUAAAACUAUGCAACACACUAAACACACCAUUUCAGAACGAACUUCGUAAGAACCUGAAAUGUCCAAUUUCAUGGACCAAUCGAUAUCGGAUUGAGUCCAAAACUUGGGGAACAUCAUCAUAUGAUGGGAGGAGUCAUUUGGUGACUUUUGAGUGAAAUCCAACGGCUAAAACUAUGCAAUACACUAACCACUGCAUUUCAGAACGAACUUCGUACAAACCUGAAUUGUCCAAUUUCAUGGACCAAUCGAUAUCGGAUUGAGUCCGAAACUUGGGGAACAUCAUAAUAUGAUGGGAGGAGUCAUUUGGUGACUUUUGAGUGAAUCCAAUGGCUAAAACUGUGCAAUACACCAACCACUCCAUUUCGGAACGAACUUCGUACGAACCUGAAUUGUCCAAUUUCAUGGACCAAUCGAUAUCGGAUUGAGUUCAAAACUUGGGGAACAUCAUAAUACGGUGGGAGGAGUCAUUCGGUGACUUUUGAGUGAAAUCCAAUGGCUAAAACUAUGCAAUACACUAAACACACCAUUUCAUAACAACUUCGUAAGAACCUAAAUUGUCCAAUUUCAUGGACCAAUCGAUAUCGGAUUGAGUCCAAAACUUGGGGAACAUCAUCACAUGAUGGGAGGAGUCAUUUGUUGACUUUGGAGUGAAAUCCAAUGGCUAAAACUAUGCAAUACACUAAACACACCAUUUCAGAACGAACUUCGUAAGAACCUGAAUUGUCCAAUUUCAUGGACCAAUCGAUAUCGGAUUGAGUCCAAAACUUGGGGAACAUCAUCAUAUGAUGGGAGGAGUCAUUUGGUGACUUUUGAGUGAAAUCCAAUGGCUAAAACUAUGCAAUACACUAACCACUCCAUUUCAGAACGAACUUCGUACAAACCUGAAUUGUCCAAUUUCAUGGACCAAUCGAUAUCGGAUUGAGUCCGAAACGUGGGGAACAUCAUAAUAUGAUGGGAGGAGUCAUUUGGUGCCUUUUGAGUGAAAUCCAAUGGCUAAAACUAUACAAUACACUAACCACUCCAUUUCAUAAUGAACUUCGUACGAACUUGAAUUGUCCAAUUUUAUGGACCAAUCGAUAUCGGAUUGAGUCCGAAACUUGGGGAACAUCAUAAUAUGAUGGGAGGAGUCAUUUGGUGACUUUUGAGUGAAAUCCAACUGCUAAAACUAUGCAAUACACCAACCACUCCAUUUCGGAACGAACUUCGUACGAACCUGAAUUGUCCAAUUUCAUGGACCAAUCGAUAUCGGAUUGAGUCCAAAACUUGGGGAACAUCAUAAUACGGUGGGAGGAGUCAUUCGGUGACUUUUGAGUGAAAUCCAAUGGCUAAAACUAUGCAAUACACUAAACAUACCAUUUCAUAACGAACUUCGUAAGAACCUAAAUUGUCCAAUUUCAUGGACCAAUCGAUAUCGGAUUGAGUCCAAAACUUGGGGAACAUCAUCACAUGAUGGGAGGAGUCAGUUGGUGACUUUGGAGUGAAAUCCAAUGGCUAAAACUAUGCAACACACUAAACACACCAUUUCAGAACGAACUUCGUAAGAACCUGAAAUGUCCAAUUUCAUGGACCAAUCGAUAUCGGAUUGAGUCCAAAACUUGGGGAACAUCAUCAUAUGAUGGGAGGAGUCAUUUGGUGACUUUUGAGUGAAAUCCAACGGCUAAAACUAUGCAAUACACUAACCACUGCAUUUCAGAACGAACUUCGUACAAACCUGAAUUGUCCAAUUUCAUGGACCAAUCGAUAUCGGGAUUGAGUCCGAACUUGGGGAACAUCAUAAUAUGAUGGGAGGAGUCAUUUGGGUGACUUUGAGUGAAUCCAAUGGCUAAACUAUGCAAUACANNNNNNNNNNNNNNNNNNNNNNNNNNNNNNNNNNNNNNNNNNNNNNNNNNNNNNNNNNNNNNNNNNNNNNNNNNNNNNNNNNNNNNNNNNNNNNNNNNNNNNNNNNNNNNNNNNNNNNNNNNNNNNNNNNNNNNNNNNNNNNNNNNNNNNNNNNNNNNNNNNNNNNNNNNNNNNNNNNNNNNNNNNNNNNNNNNNNNNNNNNNNNNNNNNNNNNNNNNNNNNNNNNAUCGAUAUCGGAUUGAGUCCAAAACUUGGGGGAACAUCAUCACCUGAUGGGAGGAGUCAUUUGGUGACUUUGGAGUGAAAAUCCAAUGGCUAAAACUAUGCAAUACACUAAACACACCAUUUCAGAACGAACUUCGUAAGAACCUGAAUUGUCCAAUUUCAUGGACCAAUCGAUAUCGGAUUGAGUCCAAAACUUGGGGAACAUCAUGAUAUGAUGGGAGGAGUCAUUUGGUGACUUUUGAGUGAAAUCCAACGGCUAAAACUAUGCAAUACACUAACCACUCCAUUUCAGAACGAACUUCGUACAAACCUGAAUUGUCCAAUUUCAUGGACCAAUCGAUAUCGGAUUGAGUCCGAAACUUGGGGAACAUCAUAAUAUGAUGGGAGGAGUCAUUUGGUGAAUUUUGAGUGAAUCCAAUGGCUAAAACUAUGCAAUACACCAACCACUCCAUUUCGGAACGAACUUCGUACGAACCUGAAUUGUCCAAUUUCAUGGACCAAUCGAUAUCGGAUUGAGUCCAAAACUGGGNNNNNNNNNNNNNNNNNNNNNNNNNNNNNNNNNNNNNNNNNNNNNNNNNNNNNNNNNNNNNNNNNNNNNNNNNNNNNNNNNNNNNNNNNNNNNNNNNNNNAACGAACUUCGUACGAACCUGAAUUGUCCAAUUUCAUGGACCAAUCGAUAUCGGAUUGAGUCCAAAACUUGGGGAACAUCAUAAUACGGCGGGAGGAGUCAUUCGGUGACUUUUGAGUGAAAUCCAAUGGCUAAAACUAUGCAAUACACUAACCACUCCAUUUCAGAACGAACUUCGUACAAACCUGAAUUGUCGAAUUUCAUGGACCAAUCGAUAUCGGAUUGAGUCCAAAACUUGGGGAACAUCAUAAUACGGUGGGAGGAGUCAUUUGGCGGGUUUUGAAUGAAAUCGAAUCUCUACAACUGUGCAAUACACCAAGCACUCCAUUUCAUAACGAACUUCAUACGAACCUGAAUUGUCCAAUUUCAUGCACCAAUCGAUAUUUGAUUGAGUCGAAAACUUAGGGAACAUCAUAAUAUGAUGGGAGGAGUCAUUUGGUGACUUUUGAGUGAAAUCCAAUGGCUAAAACUAUGCAAUACACUAAACACACCAUUUCAGAACGAACUUCGUAAGAACCUGAAUUGUCGAAUUUCAUGGACCAAUCGAUAUCGGAUUGAGUCCAAAAUUUGGGGAACAUCAUAAUACGGUGGGAGGAGUCAUUUGGUGACUUUUGAGUGAAAUCCAAUGGCUAAAACAAUGCAAUACACUAACCACUCCAUUUCAGAACGAACUUCGUAUGAACCUGAAUUGUCCAAUUUCGUGUACCAAUCGAUAUUGGAUUGAGUCCGGAACUUGAGGAGCAACAUAAUAUGAUGGGAGGAGUCAUUUGGUGGCUUUUGACUCAAAUCCAAUGGCUAAAACUAUGCAAUACACUAACCACUACAUUUCAGAACGAACUUCGUACAAACCUGAAUUGUCCAAUUUCAUGGACCAAUCGAUAUCGGAUUGAGUCCAAAACUUGGGGAAUAUCAUAAUAAGGUGGGAGGAGUCAUUUGGGGUGUUUUGAGUGAAAUCCAUGGCCUAAAACUAUGCAAUACACCAACCACUCCAUUUCACAACGAACUUCGUACGACCCUGAUUUGUCCAUUUUCAUGGACCAAUCGAUAUCGGAUUGAGUCCAAAACUUGGGGAACAUCAUAAUACGGCGGGAGGAGUCAUUCGGUGACUUUUGAGUGAAAUCCAAUGGCUAAAACUAUGCAAUACACUAACCACUCCAUUUCAGAACGAACUUCGUACAAACCUGAAUUGUCCAAUUUCAAGGACCAAUCGAUAUCGGAUUGAGUCCAAAACUUGGGGAACAUCAUAAUACGGAGAGAGGAGUCAUUUGUUGUCUUUUGACUGAAAUCCAAUGGCUAAAACUAUNNNNNNNNNNNNNNNNNNNNNNNNNNNNNNNNNNNNNNNNNNNNNNNNNNNNNNNNNNNNNNNNNNNNNNNNNNNNNNNNNNNNNNNNNNNNNNNNNNNNNNNNNNNNNNNNNNNNNNNNNNNNNNNNNNNNNNNNNNNNNNNNNNNNNNNNNNNNNNNNNNNNNNNNNNNNNNNNNNNNNNNNNNNNNNNNNNNNNNNNNNNNNNNNNNNNNNNNNNNNNNNNNNNNNNNNNNNNNNNNNNNNNNNNNNNNNNNNNNNNNNNNNNNNNNNNNNNNNNNNNNNNNNNNNNNNNNNNNNNNNNNNNNNNNNNNNNNNNNNNNNNNNNNNNNNNNNNNNNNNNNNNNNNNNNNNNNNNNNNNNNNNNNNNNNNNNNNNNNNNNNNNNNNNNNNNNNNNNNNNNNNNNNNNNNNNNNNNNNNNNNNNNNNNNNNNNNNNNNNNNNNNNNNNNNNNNNNNNNNNNNNNNNNNNNNNNNNNNNNGAAUCCAAUGGCUAAAACUAUGCAAUACACCAACCACUCCAUUUCGGAACGAACUUCGUACGAACCUGAAUUGUCCAAUUUCAUGGACCAAUCGAUAUCGGAUUGAGUCCAAAACUUGGGGAAUAUCAUAAUAAGGUGGGAGGAGUCAUUUGGGGUGUUUUGAGUGAAAUCCAAUGGCUAAAACUAUGCAAUACACCAACCACUCCAUUUCAGAACGAACUUCGUACGAACCUGAAUUGUCCAAUUUCAUGGACCAAUCGAUAUCGGAUUGAGUCCAAAACUUGGGGAACAUCAUAAUACGGCGGGAGGAGUCAUUCGGUGACUUUUGAGUGAAAUCCAAUGGCUAAAACUAUGCAAUACACUAACCACUCCAUUUGAGAACGAACUUCGUACAAACCUGAAUUGUCCAAUUUCAUGGACCAAUCGAUAUCGGAUUGAGUCCAAAACUUGGGGAACAUCAUAAUACGGAGAGAGGAGUCAUUUGUUGUCUUUUGACUGAAAUCCAAUGGCUAAAACUAUAUAUGCAAUACACUAACCACUCCAUUUCGGAACGAACUUCGUACGAACCUGAAUUGUCCAAUUUCGUGUACCAAUCGAUAUUGGAUUGAGUCCGGAACUUGAGAGCAACAUAAUAUGAUGGGAGGAGUCAUUUGGUGUCUUUUGACUGAAAUCCAAUGGCUAAAACUAUGCAAUACACUAAACCACUAUAUUUCAGAACGAACUUCGUACAAACUGAAUUGUCCAAUUUCAUGGACCAAUCGAUAUCGGAUUGAGUCCAAAACUUGGGGAAUAUCAUAAUAAGGUGGGAGGAGUCAUUUGGGGUGUUUUGAGUGAAAUCCAAUGGCUAAAACUAUGCAAUACACCAACCACUCCAUUUCAGAACGAACUUCGUACGAACCUGAAUUGUCCAAUUUCAUGGACCAAUCGAUAUCGGAUUGAGUCCAAAACUUGGGGAACAUCAUAAUACGGCGGGAGGAGUCAUUCGGUGACUUUUGAGUGAAAUCCAAUGGCUAAAACUAUGCAAUACACUAACCACUCCAUUUCAGAACGAACUUCGUACAAACCUGAAUUGUCCAAUUUCAAGGACCAAUCGAUAUCGGAUUGAGUCCAAAACUUGGGGAACAUCAUAAUACGGAGAGAGGAGUCAUUUGUUGUCUUUUGACUGAAAUCCAAUGGCUAAAACUAUAUAUGCAAUACACUAACCACUCCAUUUCGGAACGAACUUCGUACGAACCUGAAUUGUCCAAUUUCAUGGACCAAUCGAUAUCGGAUUGAGUCCAAAACUUGGGGAACAUCAUAAUACGGUGGGAGGAGUCAUUUGGUGACUUUGAGUGAAAUCCAAUGGCUAAAACUAUGCAAUACACUAAACACACCAUUUCAUAACAACUUCAUAAGAACNNNNNNNNNNNNNNNNNNNNNNNNNNNNNNNNNNNNNNNNNNNNNNNNNNNNNNNNNNNNNNNNNNNNNNNNNNNNNNNNNNNNNNNNNNNNNNNNNNNNGUCAUUUGGUGACUUUUGAGUGAAAUCCAAUGGCUAAAACUAUGCAAUACACUAACCACUCCAUUUCAGAACGAACUUCGUACAAACUGAAUUGUCCAUUUUCAUGGACCAAUCGAUAUCGGAUUGAGUCCAAAACUUGGGGAACAUCAUAAUAUGAUGGGAGGAGUCAUUUGGUGACUUUUGAGUGAAUCCAAUGGCUAAAACUAUGCAAUACACCAACCACUCCAUUUCGGAACGAACUUCGUACGAACGUGAAUUGUCCAAUUUCAUGGACCAAUCGAUAUCGGAUUGAGUCCAAAACUUGGGGAACAUCAUCAUAUGAUGGGAGGAGUCAUUUGGUGACUUUUGAGUGAAAUCCAAUGGAUAAAACUAUGCAAUACACUAACCACUCCAUUUAAGAACGAACUUCGUACAAACCUGAAUUGUCCAAUUUCAUGGACCAAUCGAUAUCGGAUUGGGUCCGAAACUUGGGGAACAUCAUAAUAUGAUGGGAUGAGUCAUGUGGUGCCUUUUGAGUGAAAUCCAAUGGCUAAAACUAUGCAAUACACUUACCACUCCAUUUAAGAACGAACUUUGUACAAACUUGAAUUGUCCAAUUUCAUGGACCAAUCGAUAUCGGAUUGGGUCCGAAACUUGGGGAACAUCAUAAUAUGAUGGGAUGAGUCAUGUGGUGCCUUUUGAGUGAAAUCCAAUGGCUAAAACUAUGCAAUACACUUACCACUCCAUUUAAGAACGAACUUUGUACAAACUUGAAUUGUCCAAUUUCAUGGACCAAUCGAUAUCGGAUUGAGUCCAAAACUUGGGGAACAUCAUAAUACGGAGGGAGGAGUCAUUUGGGGUCUUUUGAGUGAAAUCCAAUGGCUAAAACUAUGCAAUACACUAACCACUCCAUUUCAGAACGAAAUUCGUACAAACCUGAAUUGUCCAAUUUCAUGGACCAAUCGAUAUCGGAUUGAGUCCAAAACUUGGGGAACAUCAUAAUACGGUGGGAGGAGUCAUUUGGUGACUUUUGAGUGAAAUCCAAUGGCUAAAACUAUGCAAUACACUAAACACACCAUUUCAUAACAACUUCGUAAGAACCUAAAUUGUCCAAUUUCAUGGACCAAUCGAUAUCGGAUUGGGUCCAAAACUUGGGGAACAUCAUCACAUGAUGGGAGGAUUCAUUUGGUGACUUUGGAGUGAAAUCCAAUGGCUAAAACUAUGCAAUACACGAAACACACCAUUUCAGAACGAACUUCGUAAGAACCUGAAUUGUCCAAUUUCAUGGACCAAUCGAUAUCGGAUUGAGUCCAAAACUUGGGGAACAUCAUCAUAUGAUGGGAGGAGUCAUUUGGUGACUUUUGAGUGAAAUCCAACGGCUAAAACUAUGCAAUACACUAACCACUCCAUUUCAGAACGAACUUCGUACAAACCUGAAUUGUCCAAUUUCAUGGACCAAUCGAUAUCGGAUUGAGUCCGAAACUUGGGGAACAUCAUAAUAUGAUGGGAGGAGUCAUUUGGUGAAUUUUGAGGUGAAUCCAAUGGCUAAAACUAUGCAAUACACCAACCACUCCAUUUCGGACGAACUUCGUACGAACCUGAAUUGUCCAAUUUCAUGGACCAAUCGAUAUCGGAUUGAGUCCAAAACUUGGGGAACAUCAUAAGACGGUGGGAGGAGUCAUUUGGUGAGUUUUGAGUGAAAUCCAAUGGCUAAAACUAUGCAAUACACUAAACACACCAUUUCAUAACAACUUCGUAAGAACCUAAAUUGUCCAAUUUUAUGGACCAAUCGAUAUCGGAUUGAGUCCAAAACUUGGGGAACAUCAUCACAUGAUGGGAGGAUUCAUUUGGUGACUUUGGAGUGAAAUCCAAUGGCUAAAACUAUGCAAUACACGAAACACACCAUUUCAGAACAAACUUCGUAAAAACCUGAAUUGUCCAAUUUCAUAGACCAAUCGAUAUCGGAUUGAGUCCAAAACUUGGGGAACAUCAUCAUAUGAUGGGAGGAGUCAUUUGGUGACUUUUAAGUGAAAUCCAAUGGCUAAAACUAUGCAAUACACUAACCACUCCAUUUCAGAACCAACUUCGUACCAACCUGAAUUGUCCAAUUUCAUGGACCAAUCGAUAUCGGAUUGAGUCCGAAACGUGGGGAACAUCAUAAUAUGAUGGGAGGAGUCAUUUGGUGCCUUUUGAGUGAAAUCCAAUGGCUAAAACUAUACAAUACACUAACCACUCCAUUUCAUAACGAACUUCGUACGAACUUGAAUUGUCCAAUUUUAUGGACCAAUCGAUAUCGGAUUGAGUCCGAAACUUGGGGAACAUCAUAAUAUGAUGGGAGGAGUCAUUUGGUGACUUUUGAGUGAAAUCCAAUGGCUAAAACUAUGCAAUACACUAACCACUCCGUUUCAGAACGAACUUCGUACAAACCUGAAUUGUCCAAUUUCAUGGACCAAUCGAUAUCGGAUUGAGUCCAAAACUUGGGGAACAUCAUAAUACGGAGGGAGGAGUCAUUUGGGGCUUUUGACUGAAAUCCAAUGGCUAAACUAUGCAAUACACUAACCACUACAUUUCANNNNNNNNNNNNNNNNNNNNNNNNNNNNNNNNNNNNNNNNNNNNNNNNNNNNNNNNNNNNNNNNNNNNNNNNNNNNNNNNNNNNNNNNNNNNNNNNNNNNNNNNNNNNNNNNNNNNNNNNNNNNNNNNNNNNNNNNNNNNNNNNNNNNNNNNNNNNNNNNNNNNNNNNNNNNNNNNNNNNCGAACUUGAAUUGUCCAAUUUUAUGGACAAUCGAUAUCGGAUUGAGGUCCGAAACUUGGGGAACAUCAUAAUAUGAUGGGAGGAGUCAUUUGGUGACUUUUGAGUGAAAUCCAACUGCUAAACUAUGCAAUACACCAACCACUCCAUUUCGUAACGAACUUCGUACGAACCUGAAUUGUCCAAUUUCAUGGACCAAUCGAUAUCGGAUUGAGUCCAAAACUUGGGGAACAUCAUAAUACGGUGGGAGGAGUCAUUCGGUGACUUUUGAGUGAAAUCCAAUGGCUAAAACUAUGCAAUACACUAAACAUACCAUUUCAUAACGAACUUCGUAAGAACCUAAAUUGUCCAAUUUCAUGGACCAAUCGAUAUCGGAUUGAGUCCAAAACUUGGGGAACAUCAUCACAUGAUGGGAGGAGUCAGUUGGUGACUUUGGAGUGAAAUCCAGUGGCUAAAACUAUGCAACACACUAAACACACCAUUUCAGAACGAACUUCGUAAGAACCUGAAAUGUCCAAUUUCAUGGACCAAUCGAUAUCGGAUUGAGUCCAAAACUUGGGGAACAUCAUCAUAUGAUGGGAGGAGUCAUUUGGUGACUUUUGAGUGAAAUCCAACGGCUAAAACUAUGCAAUACACUAACCACCUGCAUUCAGAACGAACUUCGUACAACCUUGAAUGUNNNNNNNNNNNNNNNNNNNNNNNNNNNNNNNNNNNNNNNNNNNNNNNNNNNNNNNNNNNNNNNNNNNNNNNNNNNNNNNNNNNNNNNNNNNNNNNNNNNNNNNNNNNNNNNNNNNNNNNNNNNNNNNNNNNNNNNNNNNNNNNNNNNNNNNNNNNNNNNNNNNNNNNNNNNNNNNNNNNNNNNNNNNNNNNNNNNNNNNNNNNNNNNNNNNNNNNNNNNNNNNNNNNNNNNNNNNNNNNNNNNNNNNNNNNNNNNNNNNNNNNNNNNNNNNNNNNNNNNNNNNNNNNNNNNNNNNNNNNNNNNNNNNNNNNNNNNNNNNNNNNNNNNNNNNNNNNNNNNNNNNNNNNNNNNNNNNNNNNNNNNNNNNNNNNNNNNNNNNNNNNNNNNNNNNNNNNNNNNNNNNNNNNNNNNNNNNNNNNNNNNNNNNNNNNNNNNNNNNNNNNNNNNNNNNNNNNNNNNNNNNNNNNNNNNNNNNNNNNNNNNNNNNNNNNNNNNNNNNNNNNNNNNNNNNNNNNNNNNNNNNNNNNNNNNNNNNNNNNNNNNNNNNNNNNNNNNNNNNNNNNNNNNNNNNNNNNNNNNNNNNNNNNNNNNNNNNNNNNNNNNNNNNNNNNNNNNNNNNNNNNNNNNNNNNNNNNNNNNNNNNNNNNNNNNNNNNNNNNNNNNNNNNNNNNNNNNNNNNNNNNNNNNNNNNNNNNNNNNNNNNNNNNNNNNNNNNNNNNNNNNNNNNNNNNNNNNNNNNNNNNNNNNNNNNNNNNNNNNNNNNNNNNNNNNNNNNNNNNNNNNNNNNNNNNNNNNNNNNNNNNNNNNNNNNNNNNNNNNNNNNNNNNNNNNNNNNNNNNNNNNNNNNNNNNNNNNNNNNNNNNNNNNNNNNNNNNNNNNNNNNNNNNNNNNNNNNNNNNNNNNNNNNNNNNNNNNNNNNNNNNNNNNNNNNNNNNNNNNNNNNNNNNNNNNNNNNNNNNNNNNNNNNNNNNNNNNNNNNNNNNNNNNNNNNNNNNNNNNNNNNNNNNNNNNNNNNNNNNNNNNNNNNNNNNNNNNNNNNNNNNNNNCAUAAUACGGAGGGAGGAGUCAUUUGGGGUCUUUUGACUGAAAUCCAAUGGCUAAAACUAUGCAAUACACUAACCACUACAUUUCAGAACGAAAUUCGUACAAACCUGAAUUGUCCAAUUUCAUGGACCAAUCGAUAUCGGAAUUGAGUCCCAAAACUUGGGGAAUAUCAUAAUAAGGUGGGAGGAGUCAUUUGGGGUGUUUUGAGUGAAAUCCAAUGGCUAAAACUAUGCAAUACACCAACCACUCCAUUUCAGAACGAACUUCGUACGAACCUGAAUUGUCCAAUUUCAUGGACCAAUCGAUAUCGGAUUGAGUCCAAAACUUGGGGAACAUCAUAAUACGGCGGGAGGAGUCAUUCGGUGACUUUUGAGUGAAAUCCAAUGGCUAAAACUAUGCAAUACACUAACCACUCCAUUUCAGAAUGAACUUCGUACAAACCUGAAUUGUCCAUUUUCAUGGACCAAUCGAUAUCGGAUUGAGUCCAAAACUUGGGGAACAUCAUAAUACGGUGGGAGGAGUCAUUUGGCGGGUUUUGAAUGAAAUCGAAUCUCUACAACUGUGCAAUACACCAAGCACUCCAUUUCAUAACGAACUUCAUACGAACCUGAAUUGUCCAAUUUCAUGCACCAAUCGAUAUCUGAUUGAGUCGAAAACUUAGGGAACAUCAUAAUAUGAUGGGAGGAGUCAUUUGGUGACUUUUGAGUGAAAUCCAAUGGCUAAAACUAUGCAAUACACUAAACACACCAUUUCAGAACGAACUUCGUAAGAACAUGAAUUGUCGAAUUUCAUGGACCAAUCGAUAUCGGAUUGAGUCCAAAAUUUGGGGUCCAUCAUAAUACGGUGGGAGGAGUCAUUUGGUGACUUUUGAGUGAAAUCUAAUGGCUAAAACAAUGCAAUACACUAACCACUCCAUUUCAGAACGAACUUCGUAUGAACCUGAAUUGUCCAAUUUCGUGUACCAAUCGAUAUUGGAUUGAGUCCGGAACUUGAGGAGCAACAUAAUAUGAUGGGAGGAGUCAUUUGGUGACUUUUGAGUGAAAUCCAAUGGCUAAAACUAUGCAAUACACUAAACACACCAUUUCAGAACGAACUUCGUAAGAACCUGAAUUGUCGAAUUUCAUGGACCAAUCGAUAUCGGAUUGAGUCCAAAACUUGGGGAACAUCAUAAUACGGCGGGAGGAGUCAUUCGGUGACUUUUGAGUGAAAUCCAAUGGCUAAAACUAUGCAAUACACUAACCACUCCAUUUCAGAACGAACUUCGUACAAACCUGAAUUGUCCAAUUUCAUGGACCAAUUGAUAUCGGAUUGAGUCCAAAACUUGGGGAACAUCAUAAUACGGAGAGAGGAGUCAUUUGUUGUCUUUUGACUGAAAUCCAAUGGCUAAAACUAUAUAUGCAAUACACUAACCACUCCAUUUCGGAACGAACUUCGUACGAACCUGAAUUGUCCAAUUUCGUGUACCAAUCGAUAUUGGAUUGAGUCCGGAACUUGAGAGCAACAUAAUAUGAUGGGAGGAGUCAUUUGGUGUCUUUUGACUGAAAUCCAAUGGCUAAAACUAUGCAAUACACUAACCACUACAUUUCAGAACGAACUUCGUACAAACCUGAAUUGUCCAAUUUCAUGGACCAAUCGAUAUCGGAUUGAGUCCAAAACUUGGGGAAUAUCAUAAUAAGGUGGGAGGAGUCAUUUGGGGUGUUUUGAGUGAAAUCCAAUGGCUAAAACUAUGCAAUACACCAACCACUCCAUUUCAGAACGAACUUCGUACGAACCUGAAUUGUCCAAUUUCAUGGACCAAUCGAUAUCGGAUUGAGUCCAAAACUUGGGGAACAUCAUAAUACGGCGGGAGGAGUCAUUCGGUGACUUUUGAGUGAAAUCCAAUGGCUAAAACUAUGCAAUACACUAACCACUCCAUUUCAGAACGAACUUCGUACAAACCUGAAUUGUCCAUUUUCAUGGACCAAUCGAUAUCGGAUUGAGUCCAAAACUUGGGGAACAUCAUAAUGCGGUGGGAGGAGUCAUUUGGCGGGUUUUGAAUGAAAUCCAAUCUCUACAACUGUGCAAUACACCAAGCACUCCAUUUCAUAACGAACUUCAUACGAACCUGAAUUGUCCAAUUUCAUGGACCAAUCGAUAUCUGAUUGAGUCCAAAACUUAGGGAACAUCAUAAUAUGAUGGGAGGAGUCAUUUGGUGACUUUUGAGUGAAAUCCAAUGGCUAAAACUAUGCAAUACACUAAACACUCCAUUUCAUAACGAACUUCCUAAAAACCUGAAUUGUCGAAUUUCAUGGACCAAUCGAUAUCGGAUUGAGUCCAAAAUUUGGGGAACAUCAUAAUACGGUGGGAGGAGUCAUUUGGUGACUUUUGAGUGAAAUCCAAUGGCUAAAACUAUGCAAUACACUAACCACUCCAUUUCAGAACGAACUUCGUACGAACCUGAAUUGUCCAAUUUCUUGCACCAAUCGAUAUUGGAUUGAGUCCCAAACUUGAUGAGCAACAUAAUACGAUGGGAGGAGUCAUUUGGUGACUUUUGAUUGAGAUCCAAUGACUAAACUAUGCAAUACACUGAACUACACCAUUUCAGANNNNNNNNNNNNNNNNNNNNNNNNNNNNNNNNNNNNNNNNNNNNNNNNNNNNNNNNNNNNNNNNNNNNNNNNNNNNNNNNNNNNNNNNNNNNNNNNNNNNNNNNNNNNNNNNNNNNNNNNNNNNNNNNNNNNNNNNNNNNNNNNNNNNNNNNNNCUCCAUUUCAGAACGAACUUCGUACAAACCUGAAUUGUCCAAUUUCAUGGACCAAUUGAUAUCGGAUUGAGUCCAAAACUUGGGGAACAUCAUAAUACGGAGAGAGGAGUCAUUUGUUGUCUUUUGACUGAAAUCCAAUGGCUAAAACUAUAUAUGCAUACACUAACCACUCCAUUUCGGAACGAACUUCGUACGAACCUGAAUUGUCCAAUUUCGUGUACCAAUCGAUAUUGGAUUGAGUCCGGAACUUGAGGAGCAACAUAAUAUGAUGGGAGGAGUCAUUUGGUGUCUUUUGACUGAAAUCCAAUGGCUAAAACUAUGCAAUACACUAACCACUACAUUUCAGAACGAACUUCGUACAAACCUGAAUUGUCCAAUUUCAUGGACCAAUCGAUAUCGGAUUGAGUCCAAAACUUGGGGAAUAUCAUAAUAAGGUGGGAGGAGUCAUUUGGGGUGUUUUGAGUGAAAUCCAAUGGCUAAAACUAUGCGAGACACCAACCACUCCAUUUCAGAACGAACUUCGUACGAACCUGAAUUGUCCAAUUUCAUGGACCAAUCGAUAUCGGAUUGAGUCCAAAACUUGGGGAACAUCAUAAUACGGCGGGAGGAGUCAUUCGGUGACUUUUGAGUGAAAUCCAAUGGCUAAAACUAUGCAAUACACUAACCACUCCAUUUCAGAACGAACUUCGUACGAACCUGAAUUGUCCAAUUUCAUGGACCAAUCGAUAUCGGAUUGAGUCCAAACUUGGGGAACAUCAUAAUACGGUGGGAGGAGUCAAUUGGUGACUUUUGAGUGAAAUCCAAUGGCUAAAACUAUGCAAUACACUAAACACACCAUUUCAUAACAACUUCAUAAGAACCUAAAUUGUCCAAUUUCACGGACCAAUCGAUAUCGGAUUGAGUCCAAAACUUGGGGAACAUCAUCAUAUGAUGGGAGGAGUCAUUUGGUGACUUUUGAGUGAAAUCCAAUGGAUAAAACUAUGCAAUAAACUAACCACUCCAUUUAAGAACGAACUUCGUACAAACCUGAAUUGUCCAAUUUCAUGGACCAAUCGAUAUCGGAUUGGGUCCGAAACUUGGGGAACAUCAUAAUAUGAUGGGAUGAGUCAUGUGGUGCCUUUUGAGUGAAAUCCAAUGGCUAAAACUAUGCAAUACACUUACCACUCCAUUUUAGAACGAACUUUGUACAAACUUGAAUUGUCCAAUUUCAUGGACCAAUCGAUAUCGGAUUGAGUCCAAAACUUGGGGAACAUCAUAAUACGGAGGGAGGAGUCAUUUGGUGUCUUUUGAGUGAAAUCCAAUGGCUAAAACUAUGCAAUACACUAAACACACCAUUUCAUAACGAACUUUGUAAGAACCUGAAUUGUCCAAUUUCAUGGACCAAUCGAUAUCGGAUUGAGUCCAAAACUUGGGGAACAUCAUCAUAUGAUGGGAGGAGUCAGUUGGUGACUUUUGAGUGAAAUCCAAUGGAUAAAACUAUGCAAUACACUAACCACUCCAUUUAAGAACGAACUUCGUACAAACCUGAAUUGUCCAAUUUCUUGGACCAAUCGAUAUCGGACUGAGUCUAAAACUUGGGGAACAUCAUCAUAUGAUGGGAGGAGUCAUUUGGUGACUUUUGAGUGAAAUCCAAUGGCUAAAACUAUGCAAUACACUAACCACUCCAUUUCAGAACGAACUUCGUACGAACUUGAAUUGUCCAAUUUCACUGGACCAAUUGAUAUCGAAUUGAGUCCGAAACUUGGGGAACAUCAUAAUAUGAUGGGAGGAGUCAUUUGGUGACUUUUGAGUGAAAUCCAAUGGCUAAAACUAUGCAAUACACUAACCCCUCCAUUUCAGAACGAACUUCGUACAAACCUGAAUUGUCCAAUUUCAUGGACCAAUCGAUAUCGGAUUGAGUCCAAAACUUGGGGAACAUCAUAAUACGGAGGGAGGAGUCAUUUGUUUUCUUUUGACUGAAAUCCAAUGGCUAAAACUAUAUAUGCAAUACACUAACCACUCCAUUUCAGAACGAACUUCGUACAAACCUGAAUUGUCCAAUUUCAUGGACCAAUCGAUAUCGGAUUGAGUCCAAAACUUGGGGAACAUCAUAAUACGGAGGGAGGAGUCAUUUGGUGUCUUUUGACUGAAAUCCAAUGGCUAAAACUAUGCAAUACACUAACCACUCCAUUUCAUAACGAACUUCGUACAAACUUGAAUUGCCCGAUUUCAAGGACCAAUCGAUAUCGGAUUGAGUCCAAAACUUGGGGAACAUCAUAAUAUUGUGGGAGGAGUCAUUUGGUGGGUUUUGAGUGAAAUCCAAUCUUUAGAACAAUCCAAUACACCAACAACCCCGUUUCAGAACGAACUUCGUACGAACCUGAAUUGUCCAAUUUCAUGGACUAAUUCGAUAUCGGAUUGAGUCCAAAACUUGGGAACAUCAUAAUACGUGGGAGGAGUAAUUCGGUGACUUUUGAGUGAAUCCAAUGGCUAAAACUAUGCAAUACACUAAACACACCAUUUCAUAACGAACUUCGUAAGAACCAGAAUUGUCCAAUUUCAUGGACCAAUCGAUAUCGGAUUGAGUCCAAAACUUGGGGAACAUCAUCAUUUGAUGGGAGGAGUCAUUUGGUUACUUUUGAGUGAAAUCCAAUGGCUAAAACUAUGCAAUACACUAAACACACCAUUUCAGAACGAACUUCGUAAGAACCUGAAUUGUCCAAUUUCAUGGAACAAUCGAUAUCGGAUCGAGUCCAAAACUUGGGGAACAUCAUCAUAUGAUGGGAGGAGUCAUUUGGUGACUUUUGAGUGAAAUCCAACGGCUAAAACUAUGCAAUACACUAACCACUCCAUUUUAGAACGAACUUCGUACAAACCUAAAUUGUCCAAUUUCAUGGACCAAUCGAUAUCGGAUUGAGUCCGAAACUUGGGGAACAUCAUAAUAUGAUGGGAUGAGUCAUUUGGUGCCUUUUGAGUGAAAUCCAAUGGCUAAAACUAUGCAAUACACUAACCACUCCAUUUCAGAACGAACUUUGUACAAACUUGAAUUGUCCAAUUUCAUGGACCAAUCGAUAUCGGAUUGAGUCCAAAACUUGGGGAACAUCAUAAUACGGUGGGAGGAGUCAUUUGGCGGGUUUUGAAUGAAAUCGAAUCUCUACAACUGUGCAAUACACCAAGGACUCCAUUUCAUAACGAACUUCAUACGAACCUGAAUUGUCCAAUUUCAUGGACCAAUCGAUAUCGGAUUGAGUGCAAAACUUGGGGAACAUCAUAAUACGGUGGGUGGAGUCAUUUUGGUGGGUUUUGAGUAAAAUCCAAUCUCUACAACUAUGCAAUACACUAACCACUCCAUUUCAUAACGAACUUCGUACGAACCUGAAUUGUCCAAUUUCAUGGACCAAUCGAUAUCGGAUUGAGUCCAAAAGUUUUGAAACAUCAUAAUAUGAUGGUUGGAGUCAUUUGGUGACUUUUGAGUGAAAUCCAAUCUCUACAACUGUGCAAUACGCCAACCACUCCAUUUCAUAAAGAACUUCGUACGAACCUGAAUUGUCGAAUUUCAUGGACCAAUCGAUAUCGGAUUGUGGUCAAAACUUGGGGAACAUCAUAAUAUGAUGGUUGGAGUCAUUUGGUGACAUUUGAGUGAAAUCCAAUGGCUUAAACUAUGCAAUACAAUAACCACCCCAUUUCAUAACGAACUUCGUACGAUCCUGAAUUGUCCAAUUUCAUGGACCAAUCGAUAUCUGAUUGAGUCCAAAACUUAGGGAACAUCAUAAUAUGGUGGGAGGAGUCAUUUGGUGACUUUUGAGUGAAAUCCAAUUGCUAACACUAUGCAAUACACUAACCACUCCAUUUUAGAACGAACUUCAUAUGAACCUGAAUUGUCCAAUUUCAUGGACCAAUCGAUAUCGGAUUGAGCCCAAAACUUAGGGAACAUCAUAAUACGUUGGGAGGAGUCAUUUGGUGGCUUUUGAGUGAAAUCCAAUCUCUACAACUAUGCAAUACGCCAACCACUCCAUUUCAUAACGAACUUCGUACGAACCUGAAUUGUCGAAUUUCAUGGACCAAUCGAUAUCGGAUUGAAGCCAAAACUUGGGGACCACCAUAAUAUGAUGGUUGGACUCAUUUGGUGACAUUUCAGUGAAAUCUAACGGCUUAAACUAUGCAACAUAGUAACCACUCCUUUUCAUAACGAACUUCGUACGAUCCUAAAUUGUCCAAUUUCAUGGACCAAUCGAUAUCGGAUUGCGUCCAAAACUUGGGGAACAUCAUAAUACGGUGGGAGGAGUCAUUUGGUGGGUUUUGAGUAAAAUCGAAUCUCUACAACUAUGCAACGUACGAACCACUCCAUUUCAUAACGAGCUUCGUACGAACUUGAAUUGUCCAAUUUCAUGGACCAAUCGAUAUCGGAUUGAGUCCAAAACUUGGGGAACAUCCUAAUACGG